Molecule: long non-coding RNA, 56850 nt
Filed under: Vitis vinifera (wine grape)
Lineage: Eukaryota; Viridiplantae; Streptophyta; Magnoliopsida; Vitales; Vitaceae
Description: long non-coding RNA (VVIN_LNC002698)
Source: RNAcentral
UUUCUCAAGGUCUCAUUCUCCAUCAUAGCUCUUUGUUCCUGAGAGGGAGGGAAAUGUCAUUUAUAGAACAUUAAAAGCUUUGAAUAAAAAAAAAAAAGAGAGAGAGAAAAACAAUAACAUAUUUGAGGGAGAACUUAAAAACAAUUUUCAGUUUUUAAAAAAUAAAAAACAAUUUUUAAAAUUAAUUUUUCAUGUUUGCCAAUUCUUUUUAAGUUAUAGUUUUUAAAAACAAUAUUAAAAUAAUAAUAAUAAUAAUAAUAAUUCGGAGCUUGUUGCCUUAAAUUUUCUUGGUCGAGGCUUAAGGAAUUUUAGUAUCCUCUUCAUUCUCUGAUGGUCACAAUUCCAUCAUAAGCGAAAGUCAAAACAAUGAGAUUUGUAAAAGAUUUUCUGUGUUCAGUCAAAGGAAGUUUUAAUAUUCUGCAAUCUGUCUAAUACAAAAAAUGAAUUUUGAAAAUCAGCUGUACCAUGGUUGCCAAAUACAAUUAUUUUAAUUAAAAAUUAAUUAGAAAUAUAUGUAUGUUUGGUUUCUAAAAAAUAUUAAGAAAAUGAAAUAUUAAACUAAAAUGAUUUUUAUAUUUGGUUUUAACAAGAAAAUUAAAUAUAAUUUAAAUUAAUUUAAAAUUUAUAUAUAUCUAAAUUAUUUUAUUUUUAUACAAUAAAAAUAUAAAUAAAAUUUAUUUCUAAUAUAAAUUUUAUUUUAUUAUGUUGUUUUUAAAAAUUAUUUUUUUAAAUAUAUUACCAAACACUCUUAUUUUAAAAAAAAACUUUUUUUUAUUCUCAAUUUUAAAAACAAGUUUUGGCCUAGAUAAAUUACAUGCAUCCUGGACUUCUUGAGCUGCUCCAACAGUACCUGCUCCUGAAACAGUAAUUAAAACUUUGGAUUAAUUUAAGGCCCAUGGUAAUAACUAUUAAGAAAAGGGAUGAAUACUUAUAAGAACUUACCUUUUUGUCUUUAACAGAUAGUAUCCCUUCACUUAAUAAAUGCUCUAGGUGCUGCAACUCUUUGAAGCUUAACCCAUCCAGUUCCUUCCCCAUCAUUCGCCUGAAAAAUAUAAAGGGGGAAAGAAAAAAAAAGUUAAAAAAAGUUUAUAAUUUUUAAAAUUCUCUCAAUAAUUUUAAAAUCCAGGAAAGAGACAGGAAAUGAAGAAAGGAAAAAAAAAAAAACUCACAGGUAACCCUUCUGUAGUUUUGCAACUUCUUCUUUGAGAGAGGCGACCUCAGGCUGGGACUCCUGUUCAAAUGUAAAAACAACCGGUAUAGUAAACUUCACAUACAUGAAAAUGAUAUUUUUGUAUAAAAUUUCAAGAACCCUAGAGAUUACUUGAGGAACUAUGGAAUAUCGGACCUCUGCGGACCGAUGAAGUGAAGGAAGUUCCGAGUCCAGCCCCCUCCCAUAUCUCGUCAGAGUGUGCUCCAUACUGGAUCAAAGAAGAUUAGCUGUUAGAAUCGGAUUUUAUUUACCAACCGGGCUCUUGGUGACUUGGGCAAGUCACUUGCGGGUUUGGACCGAAGAACUCACACUUGGGCAUCAUUUUUGUGUGUGGGCCUGUAUGGCCCAUUAGGUCAGUCCAAUCUAGCCUAGCCCAUGCUGAACAGCCUGGGGGUUGCCUGUUCUCAUCGUUAAGGUAUUGAUCAUUCAUAAAUUUUAAACUUUAUAAUAUUGAAAAAAAUUUGAUAAAUUUUUUGUUCAUUCUUCAUUGAAGAGUCCAUUUUCUUCAAAAAUUCAACCUUUUAUCAAUUUAGAAAAUCCCAUUUUACAUUACCACCUCCAAAAAUGCUUCUAAUUUUUAGAAUUUCCUGGGGAAAAAUAAAUAAAUAAAAGCAACCCAGUAUCUCCCUACCAGAAAAUCCCAGUACUUCAAUUAUAUUUUCAAAAGCAGUUUUCCAAAAAUAAUAAUAAUAAAAAUAAUAAUUUUCUCACUAAAAAAGAAAAAGAAAAGAAAAUAAUUAAUUCAAGAAGAUACCUUGAACUAGAGAACUCAUAAAGCUUUCCUGUGCUGGAGAAGAUGAUGACACCAACUUCAGCAUCACAUAAAACAGACAAUUCUUUGGCCUUUUUAAGCAAACCUGCACGACGCUUUGAGAAGGUGACUUGACGGCUGUUGAUAUUUUCAAUCUUCUUGAUUUCAAUCUUGCCUCUCCCCAUUUUUCUGUCUGUGUUUUUCCCGAGAAAAAAAGGGCUGGAAAAAUGAGGUUAAAGAGAAAGAGAGAGCGAAGCCUGGAUUUAUAGGGAUUUUUUCCUUGUCGGGUGGGGAGGAGAGAUUUCGUGGUACUAAUGAAGGAAAUUGGGACUAACUUUAGAAAGAAAAAAAAAAUAGAGAGUAAAGGGGCGGUUUCCUAUAUGUGGCAAAAAGCCCAUAAAUGGUAAAGCCAAUGUCCUUAAUUGUGAUUUUUUGCCACAUUUAGAACAUUUAUACAAGGCAUUGCCAAUAUCUUUAAUUGUGGGUUGUUUUUUAUUUGCCACAUUUAGUACAUUUAUUUAAGGCAUAAAUAAAAUAUAUUCUUAUAGAAAAUUGGGUGGUAAAAAAAAUUCUUUUUUUAAAAAUUUAGAUUACUAUAAAAGAAAUAGUGUAAGGAAGAUAAUGCUGAAUAAGAAUGAUCUCCGUAGAUGGGAAUUUUUAUUAUGCUGAUAAAUUAUUUAUAGUAAUUUCCUGAAAAAAGGAUGGUGGUGUUGAAGAAUUGAAAGUUGCUCCUUUAUAUAUAUAUAUAUAUAUAUAUAUAUAUAUAUGUAUUUUUUUUUUUUUUGGAGUUUUUUUUUUUGCCUCCGGGAAUGGAUAGGGAUCAGAUUCCAUUUUAAGAACUUUUAUUGAUUCUUGGAGAUUACAAGAAUCUCAUAAUAUCUACUUCAAUUGAUAUAGAAACCCAUUCACACUGGUCCCCACAAAACUUAGAAAGAAAUAGGAAUGAAAGGAUUCAUUUGAAAAUUUGGUUAAUCUUUCAUUUUUGUACGCUUCAAUUUCAAUCAAAUGGUAGAAUCAUGAUUUUUUUUCUUAUGCAAAGCACAUGCCAUUUUAGUAGAAGCCCAUCCAAAUAUGCUCCUUUCCAUUUUGAUAAAUGCAAAAAUAUUUAAAUCUUCAUUCUUUAUUUGUUUUUGUUACUUGUUUAAUAAUUACGAUCUUGUAAAUUUAUUUGGGAUUACUUUUUAGAAUCAAAAAUGGUUUUUAAAUUUAAAAAAUAUGUUUGGUAGUUUUUCUUUCUUUUCUAAAAACCUUUAUUGGGAAAAAGUGAAAAAUAUGUUGUUUUAUAAAAUAAAUUUGAGGUGUUUUUAGGAUUUUUUUUUUAAAAGUAUUUUAAUAAAGGAUUGAAAAUAUGAAUAAUACUUAAAAUAAAUCAUUCUACAUUCACUUGAAAUUGGUUUUUUAGUUAUAAAUGUGAUUUUAUUCCUAAAAGUGAGAAUUGUUCUUAGAAAGUGUUCUAAAAAAUUAUUGUACAAAAAUUGUUUUUAGAACCCUUACCAUACUCAAAUUUUCUAUUAAACAUGAGAUAUAAAUUUUAAAAAAUAAUUGGUUAAUUUUUUUAAUAAAUUGUGAUCAUUAGCUUGACUAAAAAAAUAUGGUUCUUUAAAACAAAAAUCUAACAUAUAUAUAGAGAGAGAGAUGACCACCUAUAAAAUUUCCUUAAAAAAGAAAUUUGGGGCAAUGCAACACUUAAAAUAGCAAAAAAUUUGAAAAUUAAGAAGGUGAUAUGACGUACAAUGUGAUAUAUCCUUUAAAGGAAAGUGCAAUAACAAGUAUUUGAAUUAGGAAAAUAAAUAUCCACAAUUAUAUAUUGGAUCAUUAAUAGUGUAUUUUAUACACAGGAAGAAAAGAAAAUUAUUUAAUCUUUAUAUGGAAAAAAAAAAGAAGUUAAAUAUAUUUUAAAAAGUAUAUAACAAUAAUUUAAUCCAUUUUAAAUAUUUUCAUUUUUCUUUUCUUUUUUCCUACUCUUUUUGUUCACAUUGCAUAUUGGUAAAAUAUGAAAAAAUAGAGCGUAAUCAAAACUUGAAAUGUCGAACAAAAAGGAUUGCUCAAACUUCCUUAAUAAUGACAAUUGCUAAAAAAUAUGGACUAACUAGUCUAGUACUCGACUUAAUAUUAUUACCUUAUUUCUUAGAAAGUUGAAAUUAUUUUUAAAAUAGUUUAAUGGGCCACUUAAUUUUGAAAGAGUUGCCAUUAAUCUUAUGAGGGUUUGUUUUUUCAAUGUAAGGCUUUUUGAUAUGGAAAAUCUUAAACACACAUUGUAAAAAAUGUUAUAUACUAUAUUAUUCAUCACUUAUAAUUAAAUUUAUUAGAAAAUUAAAGAUGGAAACUUUAUUAUCAAUAGGAGUAGACUUUUUUUAAUUUUAUACAACAAGAAUAUGCAUGUUAUGUUUGAUUCUUGGAAAGUUCAAAAAAAAGAAAAAAAAAAUAGUGAACAUGAUUAUAAGAAAAGAAAAAGAUAAAAAAAAUUAUAAAUCUAUUUUUCUUCUUUGGAAGUUUAUGGAAAAGUUGAGGAAAGAAAAAUUAAUUUAGUAGAAAAUACACUUCUAAACUUUCACCAUUUAAUGAGAACAAGGAGGAAAUUUUUUUUCACGUUUUUUUCUUUUCUCCUUAGUAUUAUUUUAAGAAAAUUAUUUUCCUCAAUAAUAUUGAUUUUCCUUUCUUAGUAUUUUCCUAAGAAUAAAAUAUAACCUUAAAAUUAUAAAAUAAAAAACUUCUCAUAUUUUGAUACCAUAAAAUAAUGUUAACCUCUAUUUGAUUCUUAGAAAUUUGAGGGAAAAAAAAAAAGAGAAAAAGAAAAUAAAGAGGAAAAAUAGAAUUGAAAUAAAAAAUAAAUUUAAAGUUGAUUAAUUAAUUUUACAUACUUUUUAAAACCCAUUUAACUUAUUUAUCCUUUUCUAUAUAAAGAUUAAAUAUUUUUCAAAAUACAUAAAUCAAUGGAUACAAAGAAAUAAUCAGAGAAUGUAAGCAAGUCUUACAUGAUAAUGAAUAAAUAAAUAAAUAAAUAAGAUGAAAUCACGAAUAUACCUUAGCAGCAGACAAGAGUGUUUUCAUGAAAAACAUGGUUAGCCCAAUAAUAGCAAGUACAAAAUAUCGAGCAAUACAAAAAUCAGUCAAAUAUUGAACAAAUAUAGCAAUCAGAAUCAACAAUCGAAUGGUGAAUGUCUCAUAUGUUGAGUCCCACCAAUGCUUGAUUUAUUUUUGUAUAAAUUAAUUCUCUAAAAUUCCAUUAUUUUUGGAAUUAUAGAAUGAAUUCAUGUUUAUUAAAAUCGAGAAAUUGAGCAUUUAUUGAAAAUCAAGGAAAACAUACGAAACAAAAGAAAUGCUUGUCAGGAAGAAAUUUGACAGCCAAUUUAUUAAAGCAGGAGUUUUAGUGACCUAAAAUUUCUAAGGAAGAAGUAAAAGUUAUGAAAUUAAAAUUAUUUGAAAAUCAAUUUUUGAAAGCAUGCACGAAACUUGGAUGAAUCACAUGUGCUUUAAUUUAAGAUGAUGUACAUAAGAGGGUGGCCCGGGGUGCAACUUUCAGUUUUGCCAAACCCAACAACAUCCCCACUAACUAAUUAAUCUGUCCAUUUGAGUUUCUCUCUCUGUUAAGUAUUUCUCAACAUCAAUGGAAGUCUGUUGGAAGUCUGUUUUUGAUCCGGUGUUGGCUCAUAGGAAAACCGAGCUUCAAAUUCAACCAUGUAAGAACUCUUUCGGGUAGCAGAUGUAAAUACAGCUCCAUCAAAUCAACAACCACUUUCUGAGUGUCAACCCGACCUUUUAUCCUUCUCAUUUCCCAUAUACUAACAUCUCUUAACUAGCUCAAUGGGCGGAGCCUUUUAGAUCCAGCUUCCACUUGCUGACCAUUGUCAUUUGUCAUUUGACAAGUCACCGACCUGCUGACCCUCAUCUAUCAUAGCCCACUGCAUUAGGCUGCUUCUCUACUGGCCUUCAGAGAUUGAUGGUGCAGAAUAUUAGUUGGAAACUAGGCAUGCAGAGCAUCUUGGGAAAGGGAACAGUACGCGCGAAGGAUCAUGCACACUCGGGAAGAACUCAUUCACGGGCCUUCCAUUAAUAUUCUGUGAUCGUUGGGAUUCAUUUUUCUUUGAAUUCUGGAACCGACCCCACAUGUUCUCCAUCCACGCACACGUCGAGAUUCAUAUGCAAAUAUGGCUUCCGAGGGACAGUGCUUCGGAGUAAAGGAAUCCAGCAGAGUGAUACAGUUGCUAACUUUCAUGUAAAUCACAAUCACAAGAGGAUGGAGACUUCUAGCGGCAAAUUCUCUAAGAAGUAAGAAAACGUUUUUAACACUCCUUAAAAAAAAUUUAUCAUGUUAAAAAAUAUUAAAAACACUUUCUAAAAUUACUUCAAAACAUAUUUUAAGUGUUAAAAAAAGUAGAAAUAUUUCUAAAAUUACUGUCAAACAUAUUCUAAAUGUGCGUUUGACAAUUAUUUUAAAAAGUAUUUCUAAUAUUUUUAAUACUUGAAAAAUAAAAUUUUUUAAAUAUUAAAAGUUAUAUAAAUAUUUUAUACCAUCACUACCAAAUACACUUUAAUUCAAUUUUAAAUUGGAGUGAUUAAACUGUAUGGUGAAGCUAUAUGAAUAAAUAUUGGAAUGACCCAAAAUAAUAUAAGAUAUAAAAUAAGACUUGGGUUACAACUUAUAAAAUAACAACGAAAAAGGAUAGUGUGUAAUUGAUAUUUUGUAGUGCCUUUUCAUUAUUUUACCGAAAAUGUACCUUUUAAUACCAUAGUGAAACUAUAUUUGAACUUAAAGAAGGUGCAGCAAUGAGUAGUUUAAUUAGAAUAAUAAAAAUUAAUAAUUACUAUUACAACGUAAGUAAAAAGUAUUUAUAACAUUUAUGAUUAAUUUUUCAACCUUCUAAGUUUUAGUCAAACUUUUGGAAAUAGCCGGUAAUAAUGCAGCCUAUUCCUAAACUUUUGGAAAAUAUAUUCAGAAUACAAGGAAAAAUGUAAACAUGAUUCCAUCCCACGCUCAUGUCAAAGCGCGUGCUUAAAUUGGCCACAUAUCCUCACUCCACAGUCCACACUGAUCGAACCGUGUGUUCCCACGCGCCACGUGCACAUCAAAAGAACAAAGUCCAAAGCCCAUGUUUCGGACAAUCUCUUUUUUCAGAUAAAUAUAAUGAGGUAUUGCCACGUAGUAAACCGGACGGAUGAGAUCAGCCAGCACUGACCCCAAACCAUGUGCGACCCUACCAGUUUGAAUUCAAAUGAAGGGAGUAACGGUAAGUUUCCGAACCUGAGGUUGGUGCCGAACCUAAACCAAUUCAAAUGCUGCAGUACCAUACAACUGAAAAGAACAUCAAAACUAUCAGAGUAGUAGAGAUCGAUACCCUCUGUCUCUGAACCUUUCUCUUGGUUCCUUUUUAGGUUUAGGGUUUUUCUCUUUCUAGAACUUUCUUUCUCUAAGACUGGGGGGUCUCAUGGAGGGUUCUGCAACUACACAUGAUAUGAAUUUGGCUUCAAGAAAAGCCGAAGAAGCAGGUUUAUUUCUCCUUCUAUCCUUCAUUGCUCUCAGUUUCGCUAAUGAGAAAAAUGAAGAACAAAAAAAAAUCAAGAAUCGUAAUAUUCGCAGUCUUUUUUGGUUAUUUGGAGUUCAACUUAAGAAAACGCAAUACAUUAAGGAUUUUAAAGUUUUCGUCUCGUUUCCUCAAAUUUUCCCGGUAACCAAAGAUGGAAAAGAAUUGAAAUAAAAGUUGCGGGCUACAAGCGGAGGAUUUUAAUUAGAUGUUGCAAGAUUCUCAGUUUUCUUUUCUUUUCAUAUUAUAUCAUAUUUCCGCACUCACGAAUGUCAUGUGCUUGUAUUUCUCAAGAAUCUGGGAAUAAUAUUUUCUUUUGGGCGUUUUUGUUCUUAUUUUGUAGCUUGGAGGCGGUUCCAAGCUGCUGGAUGGCUCGAGACCCUAGUCGGACCAAUUGGGGUAUCGACUCAUCCGUCAGAACGAGAGUUCGUUUCUUGCUUGAGAAAUGGUUUAAUUUUAUGCAAUGCCAUUAACAAGAUCCAUCCAGGAUCAGUGCCCAAGGUAUUAUGACACUCUUGUCUCAGAUAAUAUAUUUGACGAAUUUAUGAUCUGUUUGGUUCCUGAGAAAAAUGUAGGAAAUAAAGAGAAAAACGAUAAUUUAUUUCCUUAUGUUUUCUCAAGUUAGGGUUUCCAGUAUCUCUAACUUGAUUUGAUUUCGGAAAACAUUUAAAGAUCGUGGAGAAUCAUUCAUCUUCACAAUCACUCACCUGGGAAUCUCAGCCUUUGCCUGCCUAUCAAUACUUUGAGAACGUCCGGAACUUUCUGGUGGCUGUUGAAGAAUUGAAGCUUCCUGCUUUUGAAGCUUCUGAUCUUGAGAGGGUAAAUAAGUUUGUGUUUGUAUAUAUUUUAUCAAGUAAACUGGGUUUUGAUUCUUGUUUUUAUUAUUUAGGAUACUUUGGAGGCUGGCUCUGCAGCUAAGGUUGUUGAUUGCAUUUUAGUCCUUAAAUCAUACCACGAGUGGAAGCAGAUGGGUGGAGGAAAUGGAUAUUAUAAGCAUGUGAGAUCCCCUAUGGUUGUGCAUUCAGCAAAUAGGGUAAAUUCAACAGCUUCUGCGGCAAAUCCAUCAGACUCCUGUAGGCGUUUGGAUAUGUCUGUUACACCUCCUUUGGACGGUGAAGCUCGGAAACUUGAAGGUUUUUUCCUCAUUUAGCUGCGAAUAUCUGUGAUUAAUGCAUGCUAGUAGAAGCAAGAGUACAAGAAGAAAUUCAUCAAAUAUUUCCUAAAUUUAUCAUAUACGGAAAUUGUGAAAUUAUAAUGAUUCAUGAUGUUAAGAGAAGUCAAACCUUGCAUAAGGUUAUUUCUUUCUCAUUCAUGUUAAAUUGUACCCAAUAGGAUUAUUUCUUUCUCAUACAUGUUAAGUUAUACCCAAUGAAAUUCUUUGACAACUUAUGGAAAAAUAUAGCUUAUUCUUGUUCUAUUGUAGAUAAAAUUGACAAGCUUAAUCUCUCUUUCUCGAUGGAUGAAAUAAAUGAACUUCAAAUUAAACGAGGAAAAUGUGAAUUAGCAUAUGGGUAGCCAACCAUGUGAGUAAAGAUGUAACUCCCUUAACUGCAUGUUGGGGCUGAAACCUUGUCCCAUAGGGUCCUGCUCCUUGGGGGAAUGCCUGGAAAAAAAAAAAAGGGAACAUCAUGGCUCCAUGGGCUCACAGCUAACAGAUUAAGCAUGGUCAUACUUUAAAAACUAAUGUGUAUAGUAAUUGUUUUAAGUGAACGAAGGGAGCAACACGUUUAUAUGACUUACCUCACAUACAGCAUCUUUAGUUGUAUAUGGCAACUCUCUUUGCUGGGUUGUCUCAAAUGAUGUUCACUUUUUCUGAUAAGAGUUAUUUUUGUUUCUGUGAUACAUUGGUGCCUGUAGAUUUGAUUGUCUCAGUAUUUGCUGAAUGCAUGGUUGAUGUGAAGGAAAACAUUGAUGAUAACCUUCUUGAUUCCUUUCGGAGUGGAAAUCGGGUAAUAAAUCACUUCAAUGAUAUAUAUAAAGUUCACUUUGAUUCCAUAUAUAAAUGUUAACUAAAAGGCUAGAUUUCAAGUAACUUUGCAUUUCGUCCCUGGGCUACAGGAUCCAAUCAAGUUAUUGAGCAGAGUAAUGAUGGGUUCUUUAAAGGAGCAACUUGAAAACAAGUUCCCUGAGGUGAGUUGGUUUUGAGUUAUAAAAGAUUUGCACAUCCAUUACCAGUUGCAUAUUCCAAAUAAUAUGUUGCUCAAACAUUCCCCUAGCACAAAGGGGAGGCUUUUGGUGAAUUAGUCAGUUCUUUUUCCUCUUAUUUUCUUUAUCUUUUAAAUGAAUUUUUUAAGGGAAGGUCAAAUAUGGUCCAAGUGGUGUCCGAUGUUGUCAUAGAAGUAUUAUUUUUAAACUAAAAAAACAAGAGUAUUUAGGAAACAUGGCCUUAUGCAAACAUCUUCCUCGUAGAUGGUAAAUAAUCAAAGAAAUUUCUAUUAUGAGCACAGUUGAACUUCACCUAGUUAUUAUUUCUCUUCAAUGAGAAACUUUUCUUUCUUCCUUGCAUUUUUUUUCCAAAAGAAGAAAAAAAAAAAAAAUGAUUGAUCUACUAAGGGGCACUCCCUAUUCUUUAUAAACAUCUUCAAAAAUUCAUUUUGACCACACUUCUAUUCUGCACAUUUGUACUUCUUGGUCUUGAAUCACAAAAUCUCCAUGUUCUUAAGGUGCAUAAUUACUCGUGUGUUUGUGCUUCUGUCAAACCUAGUCAAUAAGCUUGCUUAGUUAAGCUUUGUAACUCCAAACUUUUGGGACUUAUAAUGCUUAGCGCACAUAGUCCCUAAAUUAGGCAAACCUAGAUGAUAGGUAAUAUGGUUAGAAACAAGUCACUUUGUUCAAAUAUCAUAUAUGAUAUGUAACAUCAUAUAUUAUGUCAACAUAGUAUUUUUUAAAUUAAUAGCUCUAAGCACUAUUCUUGUUUAUAAAAAUCAUACUGUUGGAAAUAACUACAAGCACAAGAGGGAGAAAGAAAGAAAAAAAGGUUUUUGGAAAUGAGCAAAAGUCUUAAAUAAUGUCUGAUUGUUAUCCACAGAAAAAGUGAUGUUUAGCAUUUCCACCAGAACAACUUACCAUUCUUUUCUAAGAUUUGAAGGAAGUGAAGGCAGAAUUCCUUUUUUGUUUUUUUCUCUUUUGAGAAUCUAUUAUGCUUGGUUAUUAAUAAUAAACUAGCUCAACAAAUUAUUUUCCAUAAACUAUUGGGGUCCUCUGAUAUCAAUAAUAAAUAUAUUACUUGAUUUAUUUAUUUUUCCCCAAAAUUUUUCCUAAAAAAAACAUUGGUUCACCUGUUCUGUUCUUCUGCUGGUGUUUUUUCCCACUUAAAGUUGUGAUGAAUUAUAAGAUCAAUAUAUUGAAGUUUUCUUAUCCAAAAACAGAUGAAACCAAUUUUUAAAGAUCUUCUGCAAGAAGGAAGUGACUCAAAUGUCCAUUCGAAAUCUACACCUCUUGAAAAUUCAUCUACAGUUGUAAAUUCUAAGGUAUGUCUUGCUCAAAUCUUGUUUUAGAAUGUGGUUUCCUUUGAUGGAUAUAUAGUUUUCUUUGUAAUAAAGUGAAUGUGAUGAAAUUAACUCUAAUAAGUAACCUGCACUUACUACAAUAAUUUUCUCAGAAUUUUCUGUUUAGAUUGAAUUUACAUUCUCUUGAGCUUAAAAAACCUUUGAAGCUUGGUUCAUCAUAAAACUAAAUGGCUUAAAUUCAUUGUUGGGCUCUUAUUUAAUGUCUCUACCUUAGAAGUAAUAUUUAGAAUACACAUAUAUUUAGAAUACUUAAGAAAUGAAAUUCUGUUUCAGAAAAUUCAUCAACAUUGAUGAACCAACAAUGAAAUCAAAUUAAUAAACUUAAGUCCUGGGACUAGGAACCAUAAAAUCUGUUUAAUUGUUUUAUUUUAUUUAGUUCAGGGUCCUAUAUUCCUUAAAUUUUUUCAGAGGAACCUUGAAAUUGGGAAGAAUAGGAAUGCCACCACCUUAUACAACCGAAGGCAAUAGACUACAAAAAGCUGAAAAAAAUUACUCUCUCUCUCUCUCUCUCUGGUUGAAUAAACUAAAUGGUUUGACGGAUAUUUUAUAUUUGCAUGUGCCUGUUCAAAAUUUAGAUCAGAAAAAAUUUCACCCCUAAUAUAUAUAUAAAUUUUUGAAGACAGGUUGCUAUUCUAUGAUUCCAUGUAUCAUACUUGAUUUUUCUUUACAGCAUUGCAGAGCUUGCUUGAAAAAGAAUAGCUGCAACCACUUGCUCAUAUUUCAAAUGCAAGAAAAAGAACUUUCGGUAAUUAUUUAUUUUUAUUUUGUGUAUGAGUUACUAGUUAGUUGCAUUUAUCACUGUAUAAUAGUGUUGACCUGGCCUCUAUAAGUUGAACUGAAACUAGAAAUUAGUUAAUUUCGAUGAAUAUCACAGAUAUGGUAUCAGUAUCUCUCUUUGCGGAUUGGUGUAUAUUAGGCAUUGAGCAUACUGUUGAAAUUUAUUUUGACUUGUACUAGGCACUGAUUCUCUCACCUCUAUUUAUUCCUUUGCUUAAAUUAUGCAAUUUAUUUUAUUUUAUUUUAUUUCCACCCACUACUUGUGUUAACUUAAGAGAAAAGCUAGCAUAUAUAGUUCAUAAGCCAGACAGAAGACAUGAAAUCAUUAAGUAAAAAUAUUGUGCGACAAUCACGUCCUAGAAGAAAGUGAGAAAGAAGAACCUCAAUUAUAUUUGUCCAUUACUCUUUUUCUCUUCUGAUUGUACUCCUAUUAGAUCUUGUUCUGCUUAUACUCCCUUUUUUUUGGUCUGUAUUAUAAUAUGUGCUAUAUGAGAAUAAGACUCUUCUGAAUUUAAUUGGUAAGGUUGUUCAUCUUGCAGGAUCUCAAGGCCUUGUUGUCAAGAACAAAGAGGGAAUUCAAAGGGUUAGAGUCUCAAUUGCAGAAUGAUCUGAAACAACUGGGUAUGUUUUGUGAAAUACAAGAAUUAUCAAAAUUGUGCUGCAAACUCCACCUAACUCUGUUUGAACAAGUUUUGGAAGCUUUGAAUUUGAUGUUGGAUUCUUGCCAAGAUCCAAUGAGAGAAAAUCUUUAUUUGUUUUUAUUUUUACUUUGUUGUCUUCAUAUCAACCCCUUCCCAGUCAAUGUUGGCCAUGACUAUUAGGAAAAUCUAAUUAUACUCCAAAGAUUUCUGUCUGUACUACUAUUUCUCAUAGCUAGUAUGUCUCCAAAACUAUUGUUAGGUUAAGUGUCAGACAGUCUGAUAAACAUUGUUGUUUCAUUCCAUACGAGUUCAAGUUUACGAUGAUUGGUAGUUUAACAUGAUAUAAAAGCAUAGGUUCCUAAAAAAUCCUGGUUCUGAACCUUUUAGUUAAUUAAUUCAACAUGUGUUGUGUAAGUGUUUAGCCAGCUUGAUGAAUAUUUUUGGCCCAUUCCCUACAAGUUUAAUUUUAAUUUGUGAAAUAACUAAGAAUUUGAGAUGAAUAAAUUUUUUACCAUUAAUUAUUUUUUUUCAAGGCCAUUGGAAGUUUAGGGAAUGGUGAUAUGGAUUUCAACAUCUAGAACCACACUUUGACAAGUGGCACUUUCCAAGAGGUCAAACCAUGAUUUGACAACAGAAAUGAUUUUUAUCAGAAAGUGUGCCCAAAGAAAUGUUUUCUAGAUGGAUGCACAUCCCCAUAAACUCUCAUAAAAGCUCUCUUGAAUGUUUGUUAUGUUCUUUUGCAUGGAUUCAGGUUUUUAACUUUUUGCAUGGAACGCUUAUUGUGUUCGUCUUUAAUGUUUAUCGUGCUUGUGCCAUGCAUUGGCUCAGGAAAUGUAGUUCAAGAGAUGUCUGCUGCAGCUGUUGGGUAUCAGAGGGUGGUGAAAGAGAACAGGAAUCUGUACAACAUGGUUCAGGAUUUGAAAGGUCAAUUUGCUUAUGGAGCAUAAAAAUUCUGUCUUGAUCCUUGCAAAUUCUAUUUCUUUGGAGCCUAAGUUCUAUUUUAAAGCAUUAAAACUAGGUGCAUAUAUCUUGCCUGAAUUAGAAAAAUUAUCUCCAGGAAACAUUCGAGUUUACUGCAGAAUUAGGCCUGCCUUCAGUGUUGGAGCAAGAAGUACUAUAGACUUCAUUGGAGAGGAUGGUUCGCUAGUGAUAGUUGACCCAUUGAAGCGCCAAAGAGAUGGAAGGAGGGUUUUUCAAUUUGACCGAGUGUUCGAUCCAACUGCUACCCAAGGUAAUCUCUGAUUAGAUUAUGCUAUGAUGCAAUUUUUGUACAUAAAUCUGGUUGCAUAUUGCCAUGACUUCUUCUUCUUCUUCUUCUUUUAAUUAUUUUCAGAUGCUGUAUUUAAGGACACCCAACCUUUAAUUAGGUCUGUGAUGGAUGGAUACAAUGUGUGCAUCUUCGCCUAUGGUCAAACUGGAUCCGGCAAAACAUAUACUAUGGUAAUAUCCAUAGCUUCAGUUGAUCAAUUUCCAAUAGUUUUUCGCAUUUGCCAUUUUGCUUUGGAUUUGAUAUAUGAUUUUGGUGAUGUUUUACAUUUUAAGGUCAGAAGUAUCAGAUGGAUUUCUUUUUUCCUUUUAGUGUCCAUUAUAUUUUGAAGUUAUUUGAAGAGGUUUGUUUACUGUACGUGGAUUUUUCUCAUCUGCUAUUUUUAUUUCUGGUGACAGUGUGGUCCAUCAGGUGGAUCAACUAAGGACAUGGGGAUCAAUUAUCUAGCUCUUAAUGAUCUCUUCCAGAUGUCUAAUAAAAGAAAGGACAUUAUAACUUAUGACAUUUAUGUUCAAAUGGUUGAAAUAUACAAUGAACAAGUACGUGAUCUUCUUGCAGAAGAUUCGUCAACAACAAAAUAUCCUUUCCUGAUGGCUGUUCUUUCUUCUACUUCUGAUCAUCAGUUAAUACCAUUGCCUAUUCCAAUAUUUCCUGCUAUGUUUUACUAGUGUUUGUGAAAUUUGAUAUCCUUGACCACUUGACAAAUUAGAGAUUCGAAGCUGUACUAGCGAAAAUGGCUUGAGUCUUCCUGAUGCUACAGUGCAUUCUGUAAAGUCCACAGCUGAUGUUCUUAACCUUAUGAAACUUGGUGAGCUGAAUCGACACGUCAGUUCCACUGCAAUCAACAACCGAAGUAGUCGUUCACACAGGUCAGCUUUCAAGAGAUGAAUGCUAUGAAUUGCUUAACACAAUCAAAUGAUUCUCAUUUAGUAAGUAGAUUAAACUUACUAAAAAUUAUCUUAAUUUAAUGAGUUUUGACCAUCCAACUAUAACAUGCCCUUUUUCAGUUCCCCACAUUGAUCUGUAAACUUUCAAGAUUUAUGCAAAGAGUUUUAAUAAUAACCUUGAUUUCUAAGUUCUAAUCAUCCAAGUUAACAUUUUUCAUCUCUUAAAAAAGGGCAUAUCCAAUGGUAGGUGUCAAUCCUUCAAUCCUGACAAAAGUAUCCAGAGCUAGUCAAGGUUAAACUUUCAUUGCACCAUCAUACAUUUUGGUAGACUACAAAGUUUUGCUUUUACCAUGGAUUUGUGAAUUUAAGGUUUGUUUAAUUUAGAUUCAAUACAUCUAUCAGGAAAAUGAUGGUUUGGCUGUCUCUGCUACUGAAUGUAAUAAUACCAUGAAAAUAGUAUUGACAAUCAGAGUCAGAAGUCAUAAUAUAAUAAAUAAGUUGAAGGCUUUUCUUUAUAUUGAUGAUGGUGGUUUAUGUUUAUAUUUGUCUGCAGUGUCUUGACAAUACAUGUGCAUGGUAAUGAUUUAUCUGGAAGCAUUCUUCGAAGUUGUCUACAUCUGGUGGACCUUGCAGGAAGUGAAAGGGUGGACAAAUCAGAAGUCACUGGAGAUAGGCUCAAGGAGGCACAGUAUAUCAACAAGUCUCUAUCUUGUUUAGGAGAUGUGAUCACAGCCUUGGCUCAGAAGAACUCCCACAUCCCUUACAGAAACAGCAAACUCACACUACUCUUGCAAGACUCUUUAGGUUCUAAUACUCAUAUACACAACAUCUUUUCUCCAGAGCUCUAGAUCCUCUCUUUUUGUGAUUCACUCUUGAUUUCUUAGCUCUCCAAUCACAUCAUCCUACAUGAUUUUACUGAAGGGUUUGCUAUAUAUUAAGAAAAUUUUAAGCAACUCAAUUGUCCUUUUGUGUGUGUGUGUGUGACCAUUGGAGAGGAGUUGAGCCCUUAUCUAAAAUACAGAUUAUGCAAGGUUUAAUAUACUGAUAUAUAUAUUUUUUUAAUGGAAAUUGUUUACUACAGGAGGCCAUGCCAAAACAUUAAUGUUUGCUCAUCUGAGCCCAGAAGAUGAUUCUUUUGGGGAAACAAUCAGUACUCUGAAGUUUGCUCAGAGGGUUUCAACUGUCGAACUAGGCACUGCUCGUUUGAACAAAGAGAGCAGCAAGGUUAUGGAACUCAAGGAACAGGUAAACAUACCUGCUGCUCACAUUUCCAUUGGAUAGCUUAAUUAUUAUAAGACCACUUUUUGCUGUUGUUUUCCCCUUAAUUGAGUAGAGGAAACUUCGCACGUAACUUUGAGAUUCUAGCAUAUAAUCCAUAUCUUGUAAUUUCUGGAAAAUGCAUGUGAAUCCAUUUAUUUCUAGAAAAAUUACCAAAUAUUUUCCUUCAGAAAUGGAGUUGUUUUCUUCCCCUCCAUAUCACUUAGAAUGAACCAUGCAGAUAGAUGAUAAUGGAGUUGAUUUGUCCAAAAUUUUCAGAUUGAGAACCUCAAGAAGGCUUUGUCAAACAAGGAAGGUCACAGUAUCAUACCAAGUAAAGUGAAUGAACCAAGACCUCCAUCUGAGAAGCCAAAAGGAAUGAUUGACAGAACUCCUCCCCGGCCUCGAAGAUUGAGCAUUGAAAAUUGCAGCAGCUUGAAGAAAGAGAAAGCAAUGCAUCCUGAAGAAAAAAAAGGAUCAAAAACCCCUUCUAUACGAACUCGUGCACGAAGAUUAAGUUUGGAAGGUUCAAACCAAGGGAAGAAGGAUCAUUUGCUGGUGAAAAUGUCUGAAGAUGUAAGCAAGCUUCAACCUCUUGAAGCUUUUGGGCAUUUCAGCACUGGCAGUUCCAUGAUGGAAGAGGAGGUAUUUAAUUAUCAGAAAGCUCCAAAGAGUCCUGUAAGUUCCACUUACAAAAGCCGAGUUGCAAAAGCAGCAAGUAGAACACAGGUUGCACCAUUUCAACUAACAAAGACGCCUGAGCCAGAUAGAAAGGAGGUUCAGACUAUGAUGCAGAGUGACCUGAGUGUUUCUAAAGAUUCUCAGAUACCUAGCUUCAUUAGUAGUGGGAAUGGAAAAGGAUCUCAAAUAAGGAAAUCACUUAGAACCAUCGGAAAGCUGAUUAAUGGCUCUGAAAAAAGGUACUUGUACAUAAUUCACGAGUGAUUCUUCUUCUUAUUCUUACAUUCUUUCUUCAACACACAAAUGAAAUACCUUUUGUGCCAAAUUACAGGAACCAACAGAAGUUAAUGGAAGCAAGAACACCCAUCAAGGGAUCAAACAAUGCCGAAGGUGGGAGGUCUCCACUCACUGCUAAUGCAAGAGCAAUGAGAAGGCAGUCACUAACCGGCAUUCAGACAUCCGGGCCCUGGAGAUCAUCUGUUAUAGGGAAGUCAUCUGACUCCUGUAAGUAAAAACAAACUAAAGCAUCAGUUAUCAGAACAUUGAAAUUCUUCUAGGUUAUGUUUGGUUCCCGGAAAAUAUUGAGGAAAGAAAAAAAAUGUAAAGGAAAAUGAUUUUUUCAUGUUUGGUUGUCCUAUGAAAAAUAUAAAAGAAAAUCAAAUAUAAUUAAAACUAAUUAAAAACUUGUGUAUUUUAAAAUUAUUUAAUGUUUAUAUUAAUGAGUUAAAAUAAAUAAAAUGAGUUUGAAGUAAAAAAUAAAAAUAACUUAUCAACUUUUAAUCUAUUUUUUAUUUUCCUUCACUUUUUCUUUCCUUCUAUUUUUCCUUUGUAUUUUAUUUCCCUUGCAUUAUUCCUCAAAUUUUAUGAGAACCAAACAUAGUCCUAGAGUUUCUUAAAGUAUAUAAAUAAAUAUAUUUAUUUUAUUUUAUUUUUUCUUUUUAUAGGUUCAAAUGAAACAAGGAAUGCCUAGACGCCUCCUCCAGUCCACCGGUCAGCCAAGAUGACAAAGCAAUGACAAUAAUAAUUAUAGAUGAGCAAAGAAGACUACGCUUGGUGCUUUAACUCAAAGCAUACUACUGACCACAAGCUGACAUUUGGGUUGGAAAAUUGUGUGACCAUGAUUAUGAGUGGAAAGGUCAGAUACUGACCCAUCAUUUGUUGAGUGUCAAGCCCCCACUUCUGAUUAAUAAUUAAUGUUACAUGAUCAAGCUCAUUCUUCUUCUUAUUGCAAGCCCUAAUAGUUGGGUUUAGGCUGAUUGAAAUGCAAUUGGUUCCAAAAAAAUUUGUGGGCGAGGCCCAUUUUGCCACCUUGAGAUUCAAUUUUGUAAUUUUGGGCUCAUUCCAUUUGUAUGUAAAUAAUUGUGAUGGUGCAUUAUGCCAAAUAUAUCUUUCACAACUUACAUAUUUUAUUCUAAAUUUACAACAUUAUUACUCUUGAUUAAAAAAAUAAUUAAUUGGAUUUCACUAUUUUUUUAGUUUAGAAGACAUAAAAAAGGGAAGAUUUUUUUUAUCAAAUUCUAUUUCAUGAUUUUAUAUCUUGAUAUGUAAUUUUCUAGAUUUUAUUAAUAUAUUUUUAAUUAAAAUGUUUAAAAUCGUAUAAAACCAUUAUUAUAUUAUAUUGUACAUAUUAAAUAUAUAAAAAGAAUUUUGUAUAUAUUAAAUAUAUGCAUUCUAUUAAAUAAUAUUAUUUUAAGUUGUAUUAUAUUUAACUUUGUCAAUUCUUUAUCUUUAACCAAAAUUUUAAUUGUAAUUAAAACCUUUCAUUUUACAAUUUUGAAACAAUACAGAAAGUUUUUGAAAAGAAUUGAAAGAAAAUAUGAUGGAAUCUAAGAAAGAGGUUUUUUCUUUAAUAAGUGGUGGAUAUGGAAUUCUGGAGGGUACGCUGUCUAUGGAAUUCUGAAGGGCUUGGCAGUAUGGGAAAAAAGAAGCGGGAAAGACCGAGAAAGAGGAUGGUUUAACCGUACCUCAUUAUUUGACCUUCUUUCAUGGGAUAUUUACCACAGUGGCAAUCUUAUUAAUAAUAAAGCGAUCAUUCUAGAAAUCUUCACACUCUUCUUUUAGCCUUCCCAUAAUUUCCCGCAUUUCGAUAUUUUAAAAUACUAAUUUUUAGUACCCAUAUAAAUUUUGAAAGAUCCAUGAUUAGUGUACUUAAAUAAAAAAACUCCAAUAAAAUCUAAUUUGUUACUUCAAAUUUGAAAAUUUUAAUACAACAAAACGGCAUUAUCAUUAUUAUUGUAAUUAAGUCAUUUUUAAUACUUGCUUUUAAAUAUCGUUUCAUGGUAUACAAUAAAUAUCAAUAUAUUAAAUCAACGUAAUUGUAUUAUUAUAAAUUAUAAAAUAAUGUUUUAUAUGAUAUAAGAUUCAUAUCAUAAUUAUAUCUAAAAUUUUAUUAGCUCGAUCUAAUCUUUAUGUUCUACCAUAAAUUGUGAAAGAGAAAGUAAAAAAAAGCAAUAUUAAAAUAUAAAAUUGAUUUCUAUCAACUUAUAUUAUAAAAAUAAUUGAGGUAGGCUAAUUUGUAUAAAAUUAUUAUUAAUAGAUAAUGUGCAUGUAUCAUGUAUGUUAUAAAAGCUUUUAACUUAUAUUAUUUUCCUAAUUUUUACUAUGUGAAAUAAAUUAUGCUAUUGUUAAUAAACUUUAAUGGUUUGUUUGGUCUUUUUUUUUCUUUUUUUUCUUUUUGAGAAUUUAAGGAAAAAAAUGAAAAAGAAAAUAAAAUAUAAUAUAAAAUUGAUAAAUUAUUUUACAUGUUUUUUUCAACAAUUAAAAUAUAUAAUUUUCUAACUUAAUUUUAAUAAUAUUUGAUUUUAUUUAUUUUAAGAGCAAUGAGAAUCUAAAAUUAUGUCAUUUCCGAAUAAGUAAAAACUUAAUGUCACUUUAGUCAUUACCCCAAUUUUUAUUUUUAAUGUUUAUUAAAAUUAUAUUUAUAUAAAACAAAAGAAAUAAAAUUCAAAGACAGAAGAGUUAAAAAAUAAAAAUAAAUAAUUGUUUAAAAUGGAUCAUUUUAGACUUGUAAAAGUAAUUCUCCCACGUUUAAAUUUUCAUAAAUAUUCUUUAAUAUUUAUAUUAUUUUUAUGUGUAUUUAAAAAAAAUAUUAAUUUUAUGGGAAAAAAUUGGAGGAUAAUUUCUUUUUUUCAAAUAGGUCAUUUUUUUAGACUGGAUGGAAUACAUGAAGGGUUAUUUUUUUUUUAAUCAAAUCACCAAAUAAUGAAAAUAUCGGAUAUAUCGAUACUUCGAUUUUACAGAUAUAUCGAAAAUAUCGGCGAUGAAUAUUUUUUCACAAAUAUUGUGUGUAGCGAAAAUUAUUUAAAAUUCACAUGAAUAUUUGGAAAAAGUCCAAAAAAUUGAUAAAAUAAGUAAGAAAACAAAUUUUAAAGUUAUUUUGAAUUUGAAUUUUAAAUUAGAUUGAUAUUUGAAUUUUAAAAAUAAUAAAUAUGAAUUUUGGAAGUAUAUAAAAUCAGAAUUGAGUUAAAAAAAAUAUUUGAUUUAUUGAAUAAAAAUAAUUUAUACAUAAAUAUAAUACAUAUGACAUUAAAAUAGUUUUUUAUAUCAAAAUAAAGAUUUAGUUUCAUCGUAUUAUUAAAUGAAAGAAGUUCAUCUUCUUAAACAAUAUUUAUUUUAAAUUUUUAAUUUUUUUUUAUUAAAAUAGGUUUUAUUAUAUUUUAAAUGAAAAUUUAAAUUAAUUUAUAUAAAAUAUUUUAUUUAAGAUUUAAUUUUUAAAAUUUUAUUAAAAUAUGUGAUAACAACUUUUUUUAUUAAUAUUAAUUUAUUUAAAUAAUUAAAAUUAAUAAUAAUUUAUUUUAUUAAAUUAAUUUUAAUUUAUAAAAUAUCAUCUAUAAAAUCGGAAAUUUCAAUUAAAAUAAAGACGAAUAAUUAAUAAUUAUUUAUAUAGAGGGAGGAAAAUUGUUUUCGUGAUUUAUUUCCUUUUUUUUUUUAAUCUCUACUAAAUUUAAAAAUCAAAAGGGCAACCCACUUCUCUCAUGGCGCCGCAUCAAGAAGCCCUUUCUGAAAUUGCCCUCCAAACGAGAGAAUCCCCUGUUUUCCUCUGCCACUCUCAAUCCUCGCAGGUACUAAUCUAAUUAUUUUUUUGGCAACCCCCAUUUGAUUCCCAAGAAAAUCCAUCCCCCAUUCAACCUUUGCCUGCAAAUCAUGAUCAGAUUACCAAAUAACAUCGUUUGUUUUUUUUUUUUUAUAAAAUGGAUAGAUUUUGUAUCCUGUGCGCGGGCUGAACUGGUAGGAAAUAUCCUAGUCCUUUAAUUUAUGCAAGAUGCUAAACUGGACAGAUUUUGUAUAAAAUUAAAGUACUUUAAUUUUCUCUUUUUUCUUUUUCAUCUGAAAGAUUGUUUAAUUGUUUGAUUUAGUUGUUUUUUUUCCCCACCUUUUUUAAGGCUCCGCUGGAAUUUGCUUUUUAUUUUGAGCAUUGUUAGAAAUUGAUACGUUUCAUUAUGAAUCAUCGUUUCACAGACAAGAAAAAAUGUAAUUUUUUUAUUCACUAUUUUAACCAUAAUUCUGUUUGGUUCCCAAGAAAAAACUAGGCAAAUGAAAGAAAAUGUUGAAAUUUACUUUGAAGAAAAAUGGAAUUUAAUACUGGAAUUCGAACUGUUCGUGGCUUUUGAAAACAUAAAAGAAGAAAAUAGGGCAAAAAUAUGUUUGGUGACACAAAAAGGUUUCUAAAAAAUAUUUCUUGGAAGAUCAUUUUUUAGGAACUUUGAAAUAUCGUAUUCGGUGUUUUCAAAAUAGCAAGCACUGUAUACCUUGAAAUCGGUCCUUUUCAGGAAUCCCUUCCAGCAUUCUUGCUGAGAUCUGAACAGGUGUUAAAAUUAUCAUAUCUUCAUUUGUUUUUGUUCUUAUUCUUUGCCCUAUUGUUCAGUUGUCAGACAUGACCGAAGAAGCAGGCAUGUUUAGGGUGCAUCAUACCAUUGGGAGUGUUCUAUGUUGCAAAUGUGGUAUUCCAAUGACACCUAAUGCUGCCAAUAUGUGUGUCAAGUGUUUGCGCACUGAAGUUGAUAUUACCGAAGGUUUGCAGAAGCAUGCCACCCUCGUGCACUGCCCUGAGUGUGAUAGGUACUUUCGGCCACCAAAAACUUGGAUUGAACCCCAAUUGGAGUCCAAAGAACUCUUAACUUUAUGCUUGAAAACAUUGAAGAAUUUGAAUCAAGUUAGGUUAAUUCAUGCGGAAUUUAUUUGGACUGAACCUCACUCCAAGAGGAUCAAGGUCAAGCUAAGGGUUCAGAAGGAGGUUCUCAAUGGAGCAAUACUAGAGCAGGCUUAUAUUGUUGAAUACGUUCAACAAGAACAUAUGUGUGAGUCUUGCUCUAGGGUCCAGGCUAAUCCUGACCAGUGGGUCGCUUCUGUGCAAGUCCGGCAACAUGUUCCUCAUAGACGAACUUUGUUUUAUUUAGAGCAACUUAUUCUGAUGCAUGAUGCUGCAAGGUGUGCCAAAAAAAUUAAGCCAAUGAAUCAGGGAAUUGAUUUCUUUUUUGCAAAUUGGAGUCAUGGAAAGAAAUUUGUUGAAUUUAUUGGUAAAAUGGUUCCGAUCAAGAGUCAUCGCCCCAGCCAACAACUUGUCUCCCAUGAUCCCAAGAGCAAUAACUACUAUUAUAAGUACACUUUGUCAGUUGAAAUCUGCCCAAUAUGUCGCGAGGAUCUGAUCUGUCUCCCUCGUGAAGUUGCAUCUGGUUUGGGGAAUCCUCAUUCUCUUGUGAUUUGCACAAAAGUAACAAACCGAAUCACUUUUCUGGAUCCUUAUACUCUCAAGCACCAUUGCUUAGAUGCUGAACAGUAUUGGAGGUCACCUUUUAAGGCUUUGCUUUCUAGUAGGCAGCUUGUGGAAUAUAUAGUAUUGGACGUGGGGAUUGUUUAUUCUGAAGUUCAUGUUGGGGGCUCUAAGUAUGCUUUAGCUGAUGCUCAGGUGGCUCGUCUAUCAGAUUUUGGAAAGAAUGAUACAAUUUUCAACAUAACAACACAUCUAGGCCAUCUUUUGAACCCUGGUGACCAUGCUCUCGGUUAUGACAUGUUUGCAACUAAUAGUAAUGACAUGGAACUUGAAAAAUACAGAGAUUUUGACCUUCCACCUGCAAUUUUGAUAAGGAAAACUUAUGAAGAAAACUGCCAAGGAAAGGGUGGGAAGCCUCCUCCAUUGAUGAGUAGAGAGUACGAAGAGUUCUUAAGGCGUUUGGAGGACAACCCUGAAUUGACGCUUAAUAUAUCAUUACAUGAAAAUAAGGAAUACCCACCACCAUCAGUUAGAGAUGGAGAAGAGGAUUCAGCUUGUGGGGCUUUGGAGAAGUUGCUUGCUAAUGUUGAUUUAAGUGAUGAUGAAGAUGGGGAUGACGCCAUGGCUGAGUGACCUGAAGCAUUUGAGAAGUAAAACAAUAAUACUAUGGACACCAUUGAUGAAUUAAACCUUAUCUGGAAGAAAGAGGAUUAUUAUACUAAUCAUCAGCGUGAUGUCCACCAUGAUGUUCCAGCUGUGUUCUAUAAUUGUUUGGAUAGCAUUCACAUGACCGGUUCUGCACACCUAAUAUUAACUACUAAAGAAUAAAUGUUAGCCUCAGAUAAAUUGUGUUUUGAUUUUCUGAUGACGGUUUUUUUUUCUUGUCUCUGUGUGUGCUUCUUCAGGCAACUGUUUUGUUUUUUCUGUGUUUAUUAUAGUUAGUAAUAAGCUGGGAACCGAGAUUGUCAAGCGUAUAUAUUCAUAUCUUCAAUGUCUUCAUGGUUAACCUGGCUGAGUGAUUUUUUUUCCCUCUUUCUUUUGUUCCUCUUGCAGAAGGAUAUGAGAUAUUUGAACACAUGUUGAACAGAUUGGUUGUAAAGUCCAAAAACUUGAUGCAAUUCACAAGCAUGUGAAGUAUUUUGUGUUUCAAACACCGGCCCUUGCUACUUUCCGAGAGUAUCUAAUGAUUUUCCUUCCAUUUUGGAGGAAAAUUACAAUGAUAUGUGUGGGUAGUUCCUUAAAAUAAAAAAAUGAAAGGAACACAUUAAAUAGAGUGUGUGGUAGUCUUAUUUAGAAGAAAAGAUAGCUUGAAUUGGCAGUUGUUUGAAUUUCUGGGUCCCAAGUCUGCUAGCACAGAGUCUUGAACUUAAUGCCUUUAGGUUGUCCACAUGUAUUGACUUGUGGUUUUGGGCGGAAAGGUUCUAUUUUGGUCAAAACAAAAAAGCGUGGACGCAAUUCUCAGUCACAAGCCCACAAGAUGGUGUUAUGCACCAAGUUUUUUGGAAGCAGAUGCAGCUUAAUCAGAAUGAUGAAGACAGCCUUACCCCGGUGGAUGACAUUUUGAAAAAAAUAAAAGAACAUCUAUUUGAUAAGAAAAUAUUUUUAAAAAUUCAAAUAUUUAACAAAAUUUAGAAAAUGUUUAAAAAAAUUAACUUAUAGUAUUUUUUUUUUAUAAAAAAUAACUCUCUCAAAAAUAUUUCUAAAAAUAAUAAAGAAAAGCAUGUUUUUAAAAAAAAAAAAGAAAAUACUCUUUUUAUGACUUCCUCUGUAUACGGCCAUGUUUAGUGAAAGUCACGGUGGUUUUGGGAUACGUGCACCAGUUACUGAUGUGUAUCCCAACUCAAAUGUCAUCACUAACAUGUGUCCCAGCUUCCAAUGUCCGAUUCUUAGUAUGCUUUGAGUUGAGGCAUCAUUGCAUUGUCAUCUUGGAUUGGUACAAAUAAAUGACACUAGUAACUCAAAAACACUUAAGCACUUUAGCCAGGAAAAAAAUAAAACAAAUUAGAUGAAAUAACUUUUAAUGAAUUUCUUCAAAGUAUAAAGAAAUAAGGUUAUAUAUAUAUAAUCAGAGUACAAAUAAAAUGCAUAAGAAAAAUUAAGAUGAAAUAUGCUCUCGUGUUUUUUAUUUUAAAGAACAAAAAAUCAUGUUUAAUAUAUAUAUAUAUAUAUAUAUAUAUAUAUAUAUAUAUAUAAUCAAAGUAUAAAUAAAAUGCAUAAGAAGAUAAGAUCAAGCUUAUCAAAUAAAUAUUUUUUAAGCAUGAUUUUUUGUUCUUUAAAAAAAAACAUAUUUCAUCUUAAUUUUUAGAUAACAUCUUUUAAUUAUUUUUAUUUAUUUUUGAAAUUAUUUAAAAAAAUAAUUAUAUAAAUAUAAAAAAUAAUUAAAAAUAAAAUAUUAUACCUAAAAAUUAUUUUAAAAAUAUAAAAAAUAAAUUAAAAAUAUUUUAAAUCCUCAAACAAAUAUUUAUUUUACAAAAUCUUAUAAAAUAAUUUUAAAAAAUUGUUCUCAAAAAAAUAUUUUUCAAAAUCAUUCUAAAAAAAUAGUUAUCAAAUAGGGAGGAACUCAUUUUUCCCUUAACGUUAUUUUUUUUAAUCAUCACAAUAGAUGUGACAAAUAUAUAUACUAUUGUUACUUACAUAAUAUCUUAUUUAACAAAUUUAUUUUAUCAAAUAAAUUAAAAGAAGAAACAAGUUACACUAUUACUUAGUAGUGUCACAUGGAAAGGAAACUCGGAUAGAAAGUGUUGCAUCUUGCAUGUGCCCUGCAACUCUUGCCAGUUUGGCAAAAAUAUUAUAAAAAAUAGGGAGAAUUAUGUUUUGGGGGUAGAUGGGCCCUCAAAUUAACAAAAGGUCCAUGUAACUCUUCAAAUUGAGCUCAAGACCCAAUGAAAAUAUGAAAAUUGAGUUGAAGGAUAUCAUCCUUCAGUAUUUCCAAAAAUGCCCUUUGUUGAUUUUGAGAAAAAAAUUAAUAUUUUUGAAAAAUACUUUUAUUUAAUUUAAUAUUUUUGAUUUAAUUUAAUAUUUUUAAAAAAUACUUUUAUGUAAUUUAAUAUUUUUAAAAUAAUUUUAUUUAAUUUAAUAUUUAAAAAAAAUAAUUUUAUUUAAUUUAAUAUUUUUAAAAAAUUUUAAUUUAAUAUUUUUUUAAAUACUUUAAUUUAAUUUAAUAUUUUUGAAAAAAACAAUUAAUUUAAUAUUUUUGAAAAAAAAAUUAAUUUAAUAUUUUUGAAAACUACUUUUAUUUAAUUUAGUAUUUUUGAAAAAAAAAUUAUUGAAAAAAAUUAUUUAACUUAACUUUAUAAAAUAUUUUAUAUGUGUUCUUAAAGGGUAUAUUUGUCCGUUACUAUUUCAUAUUCUUCAAUUCAAUUUAAAGAGUUGUAUGGACAUUUUGUUAAUUUUGGGGGCCCAUUUACCCCCAAAAGAUAAUUCUCCCUAAAAAAUAAGGGUAAAAAUUACUAACAACAAAAGUGCAUCCACUGGCUAGCCAAUGUGGCACCCAGAGUGGCCUCCCCAGGAUUCGAACUCAAGACUAAGGUCUUUGUGGUUGCCCUCCUGGUACCNNNNNNNNNNNNNNNNNNNNNNNNNNNNNNNNNNNNNNNNNNNNNNNNNNNNNNNNNNNNNNNUCUCCCUUUGUAUUAGGAGGGCAACCACAAAGACCUUAGUCUUGAGUUCGAAUCCUGGGGAGGCCACUCUGGGCACCACAUUGGCUUAGCCUAGGCACUAGAGCCAAAAAUCUCGGGUCAUGCAUUGGCAUCGCCUAGGCCUCGAGAUACAAAUGUACAAUAGUGCUCUCAUUCCAUUUUCUUACCCUUUCUCGGGAAAAUGAACUUGAAGUUCCUUGACAUGAAGAAGCUGGUGUUGUGAAUUUAGUUGGCAUUAUGGCUGCGAAUUUUCUCUUUCAACCAAGUAAUUGAUUCAAAUAACGUGUUUGCGGAAAUAGUAUCUUUAAUUUAUUUUUCUAGAUCUUUAAUGUAUUUUGCAGUAUCUUUAAUUUCUCUGGAUUUGCAUUGCUGAGAUAUGGAUUUUGUAGGAAUAGAAGCAGGUGAAGAUGAACGUGUCGAAGCACAUGAAGACGAACGAGUCGAAGCACAUGAAGAUGAACAUGGAUUAUACUAUCAAAUCCUACCAAUGAAAUUUGGUUGUGGUGGUUUUCGUACCCACCUUGCGAAUCAACUUGACCUGGUUGGGGUAAUUAUUUGCAUAUAUCUCUCUGAUUAUGAUUUUCCGUACACAAUCAGAUGAUUCAAUACAUUCUAUUCUCUUCAUCCGUAAGAUGUAGGAGAAGAUAUGAUUGAAUGAAGGCGCAUGCUGCUUUUUCACCUAAAGUAAAUAUUCUCUUAAUUUCUUGUCUUAAUAAUAUUUAAUUUCUCAUACAUGCUAUUUAUUGUGAAUUAAUAGUUGUAAAUUUCUUUUGGUCCAAAACUUAAUCAAAGCAAAUUGGAUAUGAAUCUUGUUAGGAUUUGUGGAGCCUAGUUUUGUUUGAUCUGGUUUGACGACCCAACCCGAAUAAUAUUGUGUGGUUUUUUUUAAUGUGCAAUAUUCGUGCAAUAUUUUUUGGGCCCGUUUAACUCAUUGUGGAACCGCUUUUUGUAAUUAUGGUUUUUUAGUGUGGUGUGGCGGUUGCAUUUCAAAAAGAGAGAAAAUAUUGUAGUCGACAGAAGUACUCUGUAUUCUUAUCUGGUAAUAGUGAUAUCCCUACAACUCUGUGGACGUAGGCAAACUGCCGAACCAUGUAAAUACUGUCUUGGGAAAUUUGUCAAGCUUUGUGGAACCUAGUUUUGUUUGAUCUGGUUUGACAACCUAAUCCGAAUAGUAUUGCGUGGUUUUUUUUUAAUGUGCAAUAUUCGUGCAAUAUUUUUUGGGCCCAUUUAGCCCAUUGUGGAAUCGCUUUUUGUAAUUAGGGUUUUUUAGUGUGGUGUGGCGUGGCGGUUGCGUGUCAGAUAGAGAGAAAAUAUUAUAGCCGAUAGAAGUACUCUAUAUUCUUCUCUAAUAAUAGUGAUAUCCCUGUAACUCCGUGGAUGUAGACAAAUUGCUGAACCACGUAAAUACUGUCUUGUGCGUGUGAUUGUUUUUUCUUUGGCGUGUGUUUUCUCUAUUUUUUGUUUCUCACAGGUUGAGAAUUCGGCUUAAUUCCCUUCAACUGGUAUCAAAGCCUAGGGUUAGGUUUGAGUGGGAACAAUGGUAGAGGAAACAGGAAAAGCGUCUGGAAUAGAAAAGUUUGAUGGUACAGACUUUGCGUAUUGGAGGAUGCAGAUUGAAGAUUAUCUCUAUGGGAGGAAAUUGCAUCUGCCUCUUUUGGGGGCAAAACCUGAGAGUAUGAAGCCUGAGGAAUGGGCGCUUCUUGACAGACAGGUUCUAGGAGUUAUUAGGUUAACUUUGUCUAGGUCUGUUGCACACAAUAUUGUAAAGGAGAAGACUACAUCAGAUAUGAUGAAGGCUUUGUCCAAUAUGUAUGAAAAGUCAUCCGCAAACAAUAAGGUGCAUUUGAUGAAGAAAUUGUUCAAUUUGAAGAUGGCAGAGAAUGCAUUAGUAGCACAACAUCUGAAUGAAUUUAAUACAAUUACAAAUCAAUUGUCAUCUGUAGAAAUUGAUUUUGAUGAUGAGAUUUAUGCUCUGAUCGUCUUGGUUUCUUUGCCAAGCAGUUGGAAGGCAAUGAGGAUGACAAUAAGUAAUUCUACGGGAAAAAAAAAGCUCAAGUACAAUGAUAUACGAGAUUUAAUUCUGACUGAGGAGAUUCACCGAAGAGAUGCAGGCGAAACCUCAGGAUCUGGUUAUGCCCUAAACCUUGAGACAAGAGGCUGAGGUAAUGACGGAAAUUCAAAUCGGGGUAGAUCGAAAUCCAGAAAUUCUAAUAAGAACAUAAGCAAAUCUAGAUCAGGCCAAUAAGUACAAUGUUGGAACUGUGGGAAAACAGGUCACUUUAGAAGGCAAUGCAAAAGUCCUAAGAAGAAGAAUGAAGAUGAUUCUGCUAAUACUGUAAUAGAAGAGGUACAAGAUGUAUUACUUCUUGCAGUAGACAGUCCACUUGAUGAUUGGGUUUUGGAUUCAGGAGUUUCUUUUCAUAACACUCCACACCAAGAAAUCAUUCAGAAUUAUGCUGCAGGUGAUUUUGGUAAAGUGUAUUUGGCUGAUGGUUUAGUCUUGGAUGUUGUGGGUCUAGGAAACGUUCGGAUAUCGUUGCCCAAUGGGUCUGUUUGGUUACUGGAGAAGGUUCGACAUAUUCCUAACCUGAGGAGGAAUCUAAUUUCUAUUGGACAACUUGAUGAUGAAGGACAUGCAAUACUAUUUGUUGGUGGUACUUGGAAGGUUACAAAGGGAGCUAGGGUAUUGGCUCGUGGAAAGAAGAUUGAUACUCUGUAUAUGACCUCAUGUCCAAGAGACACAAUUGCAGUUGUUGAUGCAAGUACUGAUACAAGCCUAUGGCACCGCAAACUUGGUCACAUGAGUGAGAAAUGGAUGAAGAUGUUGUUGUCAAAAGAAAAACUACCAGAAUUGAAGUCCAUUGAUUUUGACAUGUGUGAAAGUUCCAUAUUAGGAAAACAAAAAAAUGUGAGCUUCUUGAAAACUGGCAGGACACUGAAGGCAAAAAAAAUGGAACUAGUACACACUGAUUUGUGGAGGCUUCUCCGGUUGCAUCACUUGCAGAUUCAAGGUACUACAUCACUUUUAUUAAUGACUCAAGCAAAAACGUAUGAGUUUAUUUUCUGAAAAAUAAAUAUGAUGUAUUUGAAACUUUUAAGAAAUGUAAGGCCAUGGUUGAGACAGAAACAGGUUUGAAAGUAAAAUGUUUGAGGUCAGAUAAUGGAGGAGAGUACAUAAAUGGAGGGUUUAGUGAGUAUUGUGCUGCAUAGGAAAUUAGGAUGGAGAAGACCAUUCCUGGGACACCACGGCAGAAUGGUGUGGCUGAGCGCAUGAACAAAAUUUUCUCAAUGAGUGUGCUAGAAGUAUGAGGUUGCAUGUUGGACUACCAAAAACUUUUUGGGUUGAUGUUGUUAGCACUACAGCUUACCUGAUAAACCGAGGACCAUCAGUUCCCAUGGAGUUCAGACUUCCUGAGGAGGUUUGGAGCGGUAAAGAGGUAAAGUUUUCACAUUUAAAAGUUUUUGGUUAUGUUUCUUAUGUUCAUAUUGAUUCUGAUACUCGUAGUAAACUUGAUGCAAAGUCUAAAAUAUGUUUUUUCAUUAGCUAUGGUGAUGAGAAAUUUGGCUAUAGGUUUUGGGAUGAACAAAACAGGAAAAUCAUUAGAAGUAGAAAUGUGAUAUUUAAUGAACAGUUUAUGUACAAGGACAGGUCAACUAUAGUGUCAGAUGUUACAGAGAUAGAUCAAAAGAAAUUUGAGUUUGUCAACUUAGAUGAAUUGGCUGAAAGUACUGUCCAAAAAAAGAGGUGAAGAAGAUAAGGAGAAUGUAAAUUCACAGGUAGAUCUGAGUACACCUGUAACUGAAGAUCGCAAAUUAUCUCUUGUUGACUGAUGGUGGUGAGCCAGAGUGUUAUGAUCAUGGAGGAAAAUAUCGGAAAAUAUCGGCGAUAUAUCUUGUAUUAGGAGGCGGCGACACGACAUUUCCAAGAGAAAAAUCGGGGGGACGAUUUUUCGCAAUUAAUCGCCAAUAAAUCGCCGAUAAAUCGACGAUUUCUCCAAAUAAUCGCCUGUGGCCGCAGAAAAUCGCCGAUAAAUUGCCGACUUUUUGGAGAUAUUUCGCUCCUUUCUCCAGCGCGAUCUGACGGCCCAGAUCACGCCCGCGUUGAUCUAACGGCCCAGAUGCGAUUCCAACGUUAAUAAUGUGAUCCAACGACCAAAUUUGAAUUUCAAUGGUAAAUUGGUGUUCCAACGACUAUUUUGGCCCAAAUUUCUUCUAUAAAUAACCAUUUUUCCAUCAAUUUCACCCAUUUUUACUUUCAUUCUUCAUUUGCUCUCUCAUUACUCCAAUUUUAAGGUAUGUUUAUUUUAAAUUGUAAUUAAUUUUGUUUGCAAUUGUAAUUAAUAUGGAUGAUUUAAUGUUAUUUUUAUAUUCAAUAGUAAUUAAUUUGUAUAUUUUUAUUGAAUUGACUUAGGUUAAUUUGAUUAUUUAAUUAUAAAUUGAUAUGUUUAUUUUAGAUGAUUAUUUGUGAUUUAGUUUCACAUUUAGAAUGAUUAUUUGUGAUUUAGUUUCACAUUUAAUUAAUUUAAUUAACAUGCUAAAUUAUUUAAUUAAUUUAAUUAACAUGAACUAGUAUAUUUUGAAUAUGAAAUAUGUUCAUUUUUAUGAUUAUUGGGAUUUUUUUUCAUAUGCAAUUAUGAUUAGUUUUUAAUUUAGUAAAUUUAUCAUAGAAUUAGAUCUAGAUUUAAAAAAUUAACUUAGCUAAAUUAUUUAAUUAGUUUAAUUAACAUAAACUACUAUAUAUGGAAUAUUAAAUAUGUUCAAUUUUUAUGAUUAUCAUGAUUUAGUUUCAUAUCCAAUUAUGAUUAAUUUUUAAUUUAGUAAAUUUUUCAUAGAAUUAGAUUUAGAUUCAAAAAAUUAACUUAGCUAAAUUAUUUAAUUAGUUUAAUUAACAUGAACUAUUAUAUAUGGAAUAUUAAAUAUGUUCAAUUUUUAUGAUUAUCAUGAUUUAGUUUCAUAUCCAAUUAUGAUUAAUUUUUAAUUUAGUAAAUUUUUCAUAGAAUUAGAUUUAGAUUCAAAAAAUUAACUUAGCUAAAUUAUUUAAUUAGUUUAAUUAACAUGAACUACUAUAUAUGGAAUAUUAAAUAUGUUCAAUUUUUAUGAUUAUCAUGAUUUAGUUUUAUAUCCAAUUAUGAUUAAUUUUUAAUUUAGUAAAUUUUUCAUAGAAUUAGAUUUAGAUUCAAAAAAUUAAUUUAGCUAAAUUAUUUAAUUAGUUUAAUUAGCAUGAACUAUUAUAUAUGGAAUAUUAAAUAUGUUCAAUUUUUAUGAUUAUCAUGAUUUAGUUUCAUAUCCAAUUAUGAUUAAUUUUUAAUUUAGUAAAUUUUUCAUAGCAAGUUUCAUUUAAUGCAAAAAGACCCGCAUAACAACACCAAAAAGUGUCCGAGAGUGCCGCCCGAAGUGAAAGAAGAGAUACGAUUCCUAGUGCAUGACAAAACAAAAGCAAAAGCAAAGAAAAAUGCAGAUAUUGAAGACAUUCGUGCUCAAUUACGUGGCACAAUGGGGACUCAUCAUACACAUUUGGUAGACAAAGAUGAUGAUGAUGAAGAUGUUGAGAAUGAAGAUGUGUAUAUGUAUCCGGCAGAUAUGCACCUAGAUGAGCGGGAUGCAUAUCGAUCUGCAGUUCGUGCCUCGAAAGCAUCAGAAUGGGAACGUGAACAAUAUGAGAAUAUUGUAGGAAGCAAACGCAAAACGGGGGAGUCUUCACAGUCUCCUGGAUUACCGUCGAUGAUGCGAAAAUCAUAUAGUAUGCGACAUUAGCAACAAUCACCCCCUAUUGCCCCUUCGCUUUACAAGUCUUCUGCAGUAAAACAAAAAAAUAUCAAAGAUAUAUUCAAGGGUGGUGCAAUUAAAGAAAUGAUGGGACGCUUAAUUAGCAAAUUCUUCAUUUAUGAGAGCGUCGCACCCGCAAAAGCAAAGUCUCAUCACUUCAAGAAUAUGAUUAUUGGUGCACAACAAGCUGGUAAUUACUAAUUUUUGAAAUGUUAUAUUGUGCUAUACUUUUAGUAAGUAUAGUCUUUUGUGACAUGUUUUACAUAUUUUUUUUUAUAUGAAGUGCAGGAAUGGGAAUCGAACCUCCAUCUCCAUUUGACAUAAAGAACAAGUACUUGGAAAUGGAGUACAGAGAAAUGGAAGCUUAUGUGAACCAACAAAGAGAAAAAUGGAAGACAUAUGGGUGCACAAUAAUGUCAGAUGGAUGGACAGGGCCCACAAAAUUAAGUAUUAUUAAUUUCAUGGUUUAUUCUAAAAGGAGCACGGUCUUCCUUAAGUCAGUUGAUGCAUCGAACUAUAUCAAAGACCACAAGUAUAUAUACGACCUAUUGAAGACUGUUAUCAAAGAAGUCGGUAAAGAAAAUGUGGUCCAAAUUGUCACAGAUAAUGGGUCGGCGUUCAUGAAAGCAGGGAAACAAUUGAUGAAGAAGUAUAACUUAUACUGGACUCCGUGUGCGGCGCACUGCAUCGACUUAAUCUUUGAAGACAUUGGUAAAAGACCCAGUGUUAUCGAGGUGAUAAACAAUGCUCGCAAGAUAACUAACUUCAUUUACAAUCAUGGUUGGUUACUAGCACAAAUGAGAUUGUAUUGUGGUGGAGACAUUGUUCGACCAGGAGCUACAAGGUUUGCUACCAAUUAUAUUGCUCUUGACAGUCUUCUUAAAAAAAGGGUCGAUUUGAAAAAAUUGUUUAUGAGUGAUGAUUGGGCACAACACAAGCUGAGUCGAACAAAACAUGGACGAGAGUUGGAGCAAUUAUUGUUUGACCAUACGUAUUGGGACAGAAUGACAAAUAUAGUUUCAUUAUAUGAGCCAUUAUACGUGGUGCUUCGACUUAUGGAUUCUGAAGUUGUUCCCACAAUGCCAUUUGUGUAUGAGCUUAUGCACGUGAUGAAAAAGAACCUUACACGUCAAGGAGCUGGAGAUUGGAUGUUCAAAAUAAUACAAGAUCGUUAGGAGAAAACACUAAAACAUCCACUUCAUGUAGCAGGUAUUUAAGUACUAUAUAUCUUUAUAAGUUUUUACUCUGUAUUUAAUUUUGUUUAAAAAAAUACUAACUCUACUUAAUUUUAUUGUAGCAUACUUCUUGAAUCCAAGAUUUCAAUAUAGGCGUGGAGUUGGUAGUGAUCCGGAACUACUUCAAGCGGUCCAUGAUGUUUUUGCAAAAUUAGAUCCAACUACUGAAUCACUUGGUCAAUUUGGAAAUGAGGUAAAUAAAAAACUGUUAUUUGUCUAUAAAACAAUAAUUUCAUUCAUCAAUUUAUUUGAACGUUUACUAACAAAUAUGAUAUUAACAAAUUAAAUGUUGAAUACAUAGCUUGUGCUUUUUCGACAUGCAAAAAGAGGAUUCGGUGAUCGAGCGGCAAUUGCAGCAAGGUCAACCAUGGUGCCCGGUGAGUCUUUGUAGGAAAAAAUUGAUUAUCAUUAUUGUAAAUUCACCACAUAAGUAUUUAUAUGAUUAUCAAAUUGGUUGCAGCUAAAUGGUGGUUUAUGUAUGGGAAUCAAACACCUACAUUGAGAAAGUUAGCCAUCAAAGUUCUCUCACAAACUGCGUCAUUUACUGCUUGUGGGAGAAAUUGGAGCACGUUUGCUCUCAUCCACACAAAGCAACGAAAUCGUUUGGCUUACUCUCGAUUGGAGCAAUUAGUUUUUUGUUACUAUAAUAUGAGACUAAAGUUACGUGAUAUGGAGGCAAAAAAUGAUCGAGUUGCUGAAAAAGAUUAUCUUGAUAUUUUUGACAUUUCAACCGAGGUGGGUGAAGAAGAAGAUAAUCAGUUGUUCCAAUGGGUGAGGCCUAUACACUUGGAUGACGAAGUUGGAAAUCCCGAUCCACGAAUUGCUGCUCAUGCUCGAGAAUUUGGAGUUAAUGUUGAACGUGUGUUGUCUGAAGAAGUUCACUCUGAAAGUUUUAGCAAAGAUACUGAUGAUUCCCACCAAGAGAUUGACUCCACAAGUGUUGGCCAUAAUAGUAGACCUAGUGCUGCAGGUACUUCUGCUUCUGGUUACGAUGGUUCAAGAGGUGGAACUGAUGAUGGAGGUGAUAAUGCGGGAGGAAAUAUUAAUGAACGUCAACAUAGUCAAUAUCCAGUUAGCCAAUUCACCUGUGAAAAUACUUUCACACACUGCACACAGGAUGAAGACCAUGGCUCUAGAAGAGCUGGUCCAGGCAUAGGAGCUAUUGGGAAGCCUUAUAGAGGAAGAGAACGAAUGAUGGAACCAUAUAAUGAGGAGUUACUUUCAGGGAGUUUUGAAUCUAUGAGUAUAGGAACUCAAUUUAGUGACUCCUCGAAUGAGGCUAAUGUCUACCCUCCUCAUGUGAUGAGUUAUGGUCAACCUUCAAGUUCAACAGAUGAAGAGUAUGGUAUGUCGCGUUAUUCACCUUCUAGACAAAUGCCUUACCAAGUUCCAUAUCAGAUGGAAGGAGGAUUGGGCAUUAACACAUGGGUGAACUUUGAGUAUCCUAUCCAUGUAGAGGCAGUGGGCAAGACUCAAGAGAUAUAUGCAUGGCAUGUUAGAAUUUUUAACCAAUAUUAUCGAGGCUCAUUGAGUUGGUACCAAUAUUGUCUCCAAUAGCAAGACGGCGUUCCUUCAUCUAUCAAUCCCAUUGAACCACAUCGAUCCUCAUUUUGGUAUUAAAGGGACAUUGUAAUGUAAUGUGUACAAAUUAUUGCUAUUUAAUGAAAUGAAGUAUUUUAUGUGACUUUAUAAUGAGAACAAUUACAAAAUUAACAUUUCUUAUAGAUCGACAUGAUAUAAUUACAUUUAAUAUCGCAAAUUAUAUUAUAUGUAUAUCAAUUUUUUCUACAAAACAACUUUAAAAUGUCUAUUAUACUUCUAAUUAUAUUAUUAUGAAGUUUUCUUUACAUUUCCAUGAGUUUUUAACAAUUUUAAGCCUACCGAUAUUUUUUUCCAAAAUAUCCGCCGAUAUAUCUCCGAUAUAUCCGUAAAAUCGAAGUACCGAUAUAUCCGUGAUUACCGAUAUUUUCUUCCAUGGUUAUGAUGAAGCCUUGCAAGAUGAGAAUUCAAGCAAGUGAGAGUUAACCAUGAAGGAUGAGAUGGAUUCCUUGUUGGGAAGUCAGAUAUGGGAACUGACUGAAUUGCCAAUAGGAAAGAAGGCUUUGCACAACAAGUAGGUAUAUAGAAUAAAGAAUGAGCAUGAUGAUAACAAACAUUGCAAGGCCAGAUUAGUUGUUAAAGGGUUCCAACAGAAGGAGGGCAUUGACUACACAAAGAUAUUUUCUCCAGUUGUGAAGAUGUAAACAAUCAGACUUGUACUGGGAAUGGUGGCUGUAGAAAACUUACAUCUUGAGCAAUUAGAUGUGAAGACAACAUUCCUUCAUGGUGACUUGGAGGAAGACCUUUACAUGAUUCAGCCAGAAGGCUUCAUUGUUCAGGGACAAGAAAAUCUAGUCUACAAACUGAGAAAGAGCUUGUAUGGCCUUAAACAAGCUCGUAGACAAUGGUACAAGAAGUUUGACAGUUUUAUGCAUAGAAUUGGGUUCAGGAGAUGUGAAGCUGAUCAUUGUUGUUAUCUUAAGUCUUUUGACAAUUCUUACAUCAUAUUAUUGUUGUAUGUGGAUGAUAUGCUUAUUGUAAGGUCUGGCAUUAAGAAGAUUAAUAAUCUGAAGAAGCAAUUGUCCAAACAGUUUGCAAUGAAGGAUUUGGGAGCUGCAAAGCAAACCCUUGGUAUGAGAAUCAUUAGAGACAAGACUAAUGGUACAUUGAAGCUUUCACAGUCAGAGUAUGUGAAGAAAGUUCUCAGCAGGUUUAAUAUGAAUGAAACUAAACCAGUGAGCACACCCUUGGGUAGUCAUUUCAAAUUAAGCAAAGAACAGUCACCGAAGACAGAAGAAGAAAGGGACCAUAUGAGCAAGGUGCCCUACGCCUCAGCAAUUGACAACUUGAUGUAUGCUAUGGUGUGUACAAGGUCAGACAUUGCACAUGUAGUGAGAGUUGUGAACAGAUUCAUGAGUAGGCCUGGAAAGCAGCAUUGAGAAGCAGUCAAGUGGAUUCUAAGAUAUCUGAAGGGUUCAUUAGAUACAUAUCUUUGCUUCACAGGUGCAAGUUUGAAACUUCGGGGUUAUGUAGAUGAUGAUUUUGUUAGUAAUAUUGAUAGUAGAAAAAGUACUACUGGGUUUGUUUUUACUCUAGGUGGUACAACUAUAUCAGGGGUUUCAAAUCUACAAAAGAUUAUUACUUUGUCUACUACAGAAGCUGAGUAUGUUGCAGCAACUGAAGUUGGAAAUGAGAUGAUUUGGCUACAUGGUUUCUUAGAUGAAUUGGGUAAGAAGCAGGAGAUGGGCAUUCUACAUAGUGACAGUCAGAGUGCAAUUUUUCUUGCCAAAAAUUCAAUUUUUCAUUCAAAGUCGAAGUAUAUACAAACAAAAUAUCACUUUAUCCGUUACUUUGUUGAAGAUAAACUGGUAAUACUUAAAAAGAUUUGUGGAUCUAAAAACCCGACAGACAUGUUGACUAAGGGUGUCACUAUUGAGAAAUUGAAGUUGUGUGCAACUUCAAUUGGUCUUCUAGCUUGAGGAUAGGAGGAUGAGUUGCAGGGAUGAGGGAUUGUUUCUUGGAGGAUAGCGGUUUGAUGUUGGUGAUUGAACUAGUCUCCAAGUGGGAGAUUUGUCGGGCUUUGUGGAGCCUAGUUUUGUUUGAUCUGGUUUAACAACCCGACAUGAAUAAUAUUGCGUGGUUUUUUUUUAAUGUGCAGUAUUCGUGCAAUAUUUUUUGGGUCCGUUUAGCCCAUUGUGGAACCGCAUUUUGUAAUUAGGGUUUUUUAGUGUGGUGUGGCGGUUGCAUUUCAUAGAGAGAGAAAAUAUUGUAGCCGACAGAAGUACUCUAUAUUCUUCUCUAAUAAUAGUGAUAUCCCUGCAACUCCGUGGACGUAGGCAAAUUGCCGAACCACGUAAAUACUGUCUUGUGCGUGUGAUUGUUUUUUCUUUAGUGUGUGUUUUCUCUAUUUUUUUGUUUCUCACAGGUUAAAAAAUCGGCUUAAUUCCCUUCAAAUCUUCUACAGUCCAAAUUACAUGAAUGUAAAGAUUGGUGAAGAAGAAUAUCCAAAUCAUAUUACAAGGAGAGUUUAUGGUGAAAUGGUUGUACUAAAUGUGGUUAAGAUCUACUGUAUGUAGUGUAGUAAACAAGUUGGCUAUAAGAUCGUAAGAAACAAAAUAUCAUAACUCCUACUAUGCUCCCUAUUUUAUCUUUUAUUUAUUUUUAUUCGUUUUUUAUAUUCCAAAUAUAUUUAACCUAAUGUUUAAGGUGAAAUUCAGAAGCAGGUGGUUGAGCCCCAAAACCUGCCUCCAAUCAUUCCAAGGGAAUUUAUACUGAUAAAAGGCCAAGAUUGGAAUGUGCGCCUUCUCAUAUGAUGCAGGUGUAAGGUGUCCCAACAGGUUUUUCUUUGUAGUCUCUUUCUUUGGUUUACGAUGACAAUCAGUUGUGAGGAAAUUCAGUUGUGUAGCACUUACUUGGUUUACAAUGAUAAAAGUUAUGAUGAAAUUCAAUUGUGUAGCACUUUUUUGGUUUACAUCGAUGAUCAGUUGUGAUGAAAUUCAAAUGUGGGAUUACAAUUGAUACUAUAAUACUAGCAGUACUAUGAUUUCAUAGAUCCAUUUGUUUUUCAUGUCCUCUUUGAUGUUCUAAGUGUUCCUUUUUCAAAGAUUAAUUAAUUUGUUUGUACUUUGAAAUCAUUAUUGAAUAUACUCACGUCCAAAGUGAUGAUUGCCAAUUUGCCACAAUAUUAUUGAAAAUUUUAGGCAACUGAAGUAGGCAAACCAGUGUGAUAAGAUAUGAAAAGUAUAAGUUGGAGGUGGAUUUGAAAACAAUAUGAAGCAUAAUUUAUUUAGAAACCAAAAUUAGGGCAAUGGAGUUGUUUAGCCCAAGAUGCUGAUAACAUUUGUAGCAGAAUGUUGUAUAUGCAACUGAAAUGGGCAGGCUAAUAUGAUAAGAAAUGAAAAGUACAACUUGGAGGUGGAUUUGAAAACAAUAUGAAACAUAAUUUUUAUCUUUCUGCUAGAAACCAAAAUCCGUUGCUUAGCUCAAGUAUAUGAUAACAUUAGUAGCAGAAUGGUGCAUGAUGGGCUUCCCAAGUCCAUGCCCCUUUAUUCAAUUGCCUGCCUACCAAUGAAAUUCUAGUUAAUAUAAUUAGUAGCAUAAUGCUGGGAGUUUGGGAUUAAUGGUUACAACUUAAGUGCGGUAGUGGGUGUGGAAGACCUCAGAAGACACUGUCUAUCGAGCAUGUCAUGUCAUAAAAGAGCUUGAAGAAAACAUUACAAUAGCGAGAACUGAGCAACUUACCCAUGGCCUAAUAAUGUAACAAUCUCCAUUUGGCUUAAAGUUGUAUAAAACUUUGAGAACUGUUUAAGAGAAAAUAACAGGGAAUAAAAUGGAAUGAAGGCGGUGUUAUCGGUUAGUUUAAAUAACCCUAUCCUUUUUUUCAGCAAAAGAAAGAUUAGGAUAGUAGUAGGAAAGAUUGAUAGAAUUUGAAUGAUAUGUGGUUUUUUUCUUAUCUUAAUUUAAAUAAGAUAUGUUCAAGUAUAGUUUUUGCAUGAGUCCUUAUUGAUCCUUGGUAUCUGAUGCUUCAAUGGUUCGCACAUAGUUUUGAAAGGUACAAUCCGCACCUAAAAUACAAAAGUCUUCUAUAGUUUAGGCCAAAACACACCAAAAGAUACACUACUGAGUGAAGUGAAAUACUGUUUAAUGCAUAUCAAUUUUAUAAAAUAUAAUCUAAAAUCCAAUCUUAUCAACAAAAAAUUUACUAUUUCAACAUUUUAAAUAAACAUUCAAUAAAAAGUAAUGAAAUUAUAUAAAUUUUAAUACACAAUUAAAAAUUUUAGGAAGACAAGGUGCACAUUUCCAACAAGGCCUUGGCAGAGAGAUGCCAUAAUCAAGGAAUGGUUGUGCCUUGACUCCAAGUGCACUUUUCACAAGUCACAACUAUGGGUUAGCAUAAAGAAUUAAUGCAUUCAUUAGAUGGACAAUAAGAAUAGAGAAAAAUGGAUGCAUCUAGAAAAGUUAGAGGUGACACUAAUUGAUGAAAAAAAUGAGAAAGUUGUUAAGUCUUAUCGAGUCAAUCAAGUCAACCACGUUGUACAAGGAAAAGAAGAGUGCGUUUAAUAGCAAUUUUUAGAAGUAUUUAUAGUAUUUCUAAUACUUAAAAAAUAAAAAUUUUUAAGUAUUUAAAAAACCAAAAACACUUCUCAAAAAUCACUGCUAAAUGCACUCGAAAUAUGAUACAAAUAAAGCAGCUAACUGGGGGUGUACCUGGAUGGUUGACAAGUGAUGGUUCCACCCCUUUAGUGAAUGGGUUUACUCAAGCAAGUGCGGAUGUAGUUGAUUUAUGUAUUCCCACUCUUCUUCAAGAGUUGCUUCAAUCAGAAAAGAAUUAUCUUCGGAUUCAGGUUGGUUGCAAGGCAUACAUGUAUGGAUUAACGUCACUAUAAUACUAUUUCUACAUGGAGAUAUGAAAAAUGAUUGGAUUUGUUGUUUGAAUGAAAAUUAUAGUAUGAUUCGCUAGAUGUUGCCACCAAAAAGGGUGGCAUGCUUCUGCAAACCUUCUGGAAUAUCCACUUCUGAGGGCAAGCAAUUGACACACAUAUUGGCAGCAGUAGGUGCCGUUGGAAUACCGCAUUUGCAACAGGGAACUCUUCCAAUGGUUUGAUGAUGUACUCUAAACAUGCUUGAUUCUCGAGCCACUGCUGAUAAGGGCAAAGCAAGAAUAAGAGGAAGAUAUGAUAAUUUUAAUAUCAUAUUUAAAUGUCAAGUACUAUGUUUUAGUAAAGGAAAAUAAUGCUAAGAAAUGGGAAGUAUAAAAGAAAAUAAAAUUUAAUUAAAAGAAAAAAUAAUAAUGGAAAUGAAAAUGAGCUUGAAAAAACAUGUAAAAAAUAAUAUACUACUCCUUUUGAUUUCCUUCUAUUUUUCCUACCCGGGAAUGAAGUGCUUGAUAUGUUGAAAAAUAUUACAAUGUUUCCUAAAAUUGACCUCUUCGAGAAAUAUUCCCCUCUUCCAAAAAAAAUUUCUGGUUUUGUUGGUCUAAUUGAUUGUCUUCGUUUGUCAGUUCACAUCCUAAACCAAAAAAAAAAGUUUGAUUUUCUGCUAUAUCCUUCUGUGAAAAAAGAAGGGACGAAUUGAGGGUUAGUGUUUACCUGCCGGCUGUAUUGCUUCGUAUUGAGGUUCUGUGUCUUCUUUCUUCCUAUGCAUGAAACUCUUCACUCCUCCUAAGAGCGUAAUCUAAGGAAAGAAAAUAAGACACAAGAGAAAAGUUAUUUUUAUUUAUUAUUUAUUAUUUAUUAAGAAAUAAAUAAAUAUAUUUUUUAUAAAUAUUACUUAACGGGUAAUUACUAAAAUUGUAUUUCAUAUUUGAUUCCUAAUAUGAUUAACCAUUAUAAAAAAAUAAAAUUUCAAUAGAAAUUUAAGUUCUCUAUCUUUAGACAAAUAUAUUAGAAUGAACAGAGAUCUUACUCUUAUUAUGUUGCAAUAAUUUACUUUCAAAAAUAUAAUUUUUACUUUCAAUGUAAAAUUAUAAUUUUUAGUCACAAAUUUUAGAUGUGAAUGAAUGAAUUCCAUCAUUAAAAUGUAAAAUUAUAAUUUUUAUUCACAAAUUUUAGAUAUGAAUUAACGAAUUCUAUCAUUAAAAUUUUGGAUUCCUUAAAAGAUAAAAAAAUCUUGAAUUUCUUUUAAACUUUAACUCUCCUUUUUAAUAAAUCUUGUUUCCUUUAUAAUAAAUUUCUAUUUGUAUUAAAAGUAUUGUAUUAUAAAUUCAGUGCCAUAUAACAAAUUAUAUUGUUAUAACUUUGAUUUCUUACAUUAUUGGCAUUACUUCCACUUCUUACAAAAAUUUUCUUAAUCUUAAACCUUAUGGCAUGCAUCUAUGGAUAUGUGGAGAUGUGUUUAGGUACAAAUGAGGGGUGAUUUGAAUUGAACACCACCAAUGUGUGAUAAUUAGACAUGAUACAUAGGAAAUGGGAAGCCUCAUUGGUCUAUAAGGGCACCAAAGCAAAAGAAGCAAAGAUAGCCCUUCCCCACUCCACUUACCCCCAAAUCUUAUUCAUUGGUUUUUUUUUAAUUACGUCUCACACGUCAUGAUUCAUGAUAGUAGGCCUAGUUUCCCUUUGGCUUGACACGUUAAAAUACCAAGUUGGGUUGGCUUUAGGGAUGGCAAUGGGGCGGGUCAUUUCGGGUACCCGCCCCGCCCCGCCCCUAAUGGGAUGGGAUAUUAUUUUUCUAAAUGGGUUUGGGAUUUUUUUUGAAACCCGGGGCGGGUUCGGGUAUUGCCCCACCCCGUCCUGCCCCGCCCCGAUUAUAUAUAAAAUUAAAAUUAAAUUUAAAUUUAAUUUAAAAUUUAAAAUUUAAAUUUAAUUUAAAAUUUAAAAUUUAAAAUUAAAUUUAAAUUUAAUUUAAAAUUUAAAAUUUAAAAUUAAAUUUAAAUUUAAUUUAAAAUUUAAAUUUAAUUUAAUUUAAUUUUUAUUUUAUUAUUUUUAAUAUAUAGAUAAUAAUAAAUUAUUUUUAAUAAAAUAAGUUAUAAAAAAUAUAAUUAUUUAAUUAUUUAUAAAAUAUAUUUAUUUUAAUAUAAUUAAAAAAAUUUAAAAGUAAUUUUUUAAAAAAAUUAAAAUUAAAAUUAAAUAAAAAGUUAAACGGGGCGGGUAUGGGAAUGUAGCAUACCCGCCCGCCCCGCCCCGUUUAAUUUUUUAAAUGGGACGGGGAUGGGAAUUGGUUUAAAUAAACGGAGCGGGGUUGGGAGGGGGGCGCCCCGCCCCGAACCCGCCCCGUUGCCAUCCCUAGUUGGCUUAACCUAAUUACUAUGGCACGUUGUACUGUCAUAGCUUGAUCUUUUGGGUCUUGGGCCCAAAGGCACAGCCCAUUCUGCUUUCGUGUCGAUCCGCUUAUCCCGUUCUAGUAUCACUUUUUGUUUUUUGUUUUUUGUUUUUUUUUCAUUUUUUACAUGUCAAAUGUCAUAAAUCCAUCUUUCAACAACUAUAUAAUGGUUAAUUUGAUGGGUAACUUAAUAUUUAUAGUAAUGUAUUUUUCACUUUUUUUCAUGUAAUUUGUUGAAAUAUUCAAUAAAAAAAUUAUAUUUCCUAGAUUUCAAUUUCUUUGAAAUAAUUAAAAUAAAUUCCACUUAAUAAUGAAAAAAAAAUUAUAACUCCAUAGCAUCGACAUAGCCCACCCACACAACAUGCUUGACACGUGGGGUCAUGGGCCGUGAUAGGUCAUCUAUUUGAUUUGCAAGGGCUAACAUGACAUGAGCAUGAUAAGGGGGGGUGAAACCAUUUUUUUUUUUUUUUUUACUUCUUUUCUUUUUUCCAAUUUGGCGAAACUUUGACAAAUUGAAAAUUUUGACUUAUAUGGUUGAGGCCUUUUAAGUUUGAUGAGUCUAGUGGUUAAUAUAACACAUCAUUUGAAGUCAAAACAUGUUAACUGAGAUUAUCCAAGAUGCUUUUGCGAUAAUCAUUAAUAGCUUUGGAACAGGUUUUGACCCAAUUUAGGAGGUAAAAGCCAAAGGCAUGUAUGUUAAAAUUUUAUGGGAUUUUACACAUGUGAGUCAUUUGCAUUUAGAAUGAGUCGUUUGCAUUCUCCAAAUUUAGGUACAACAGUUGAGCCUAAACUACAUUCUUCAGGUGAGAUCCGAUCCUCAAGUUAUACCCUCCCGACUUCAAAGCCUCACCUUACUCUUUCCAAAACCAUCUCCUUUUAAAAGCCUCUCAAUUCACAUCCAUCAUCAAAGAAUUAACCAGACACUUUGAUUGAACAUUGCCCAUCACCCCAUCACAUUUCAUAUAGCUUGUCAAUCAAAAGCAGAAGGCAAAAAUGGCAGAUAACCCCCAAGACCAAGAGGAGAGGGAGAGAAUCUUCAAAAGGUUUGACACCAAUGGGGAUGGGAAGAUAUCAUCAACGGAGCUGGGCGAUGCCCUAAAAACAUUGGGUUCUGUUUCAGCAGAUGAAGUUCAGCGUAUGAUGCAGGAGAUUGACACGGAUGGCGAUGGUUUCAUUUCAUUUGAUGAAUUUGCAGACUUCCACCGUGCCAACCGUGGCUUGAUGAAGGAUGUUGCUAAGGUUUUUUAAUUUCUUUUAUAUUUAUUUUUAUAUAAAUGUGUUGUUUUUUCAUAUUUGUUUUUGCUUUCACCCCCAACCCCAAGAGUUGCAGUCGCCAUUUUGAUGUGUCUCAUUUUUGUUUUCUUUGUUAUAAUGUAAUAGAAUUGUGUUGGAAGUUUCCUAAGCAUCACGUGUAACAUAGGACUCAUCCAUCUUCACAUUUAGCCGCCGUUAGAGAUUAUGGUUUUUGUGUUUCAGACGACUGCCUUUUUCAUUCCAUGAAGUUUUACAAAAUAAAAAAUGUAGCAUUUUCAAUGGCACAAUCAAUUUAAAAACAACAUGGGAUACUUCAAUUAAAAUCAUUAUUAUUUUCUUAUUUGUUUUCAUUAUACUUUUUUAUUUUGUUAAAUCUACUUGAACUCUUAAGCCUUUUUUAAGACAUGGAGUCGAAUUUUAUUGAAAAAAAAUCAUCAAAUUUAGAAUAUUAUUACAUUUGAUUAAUAUUAAUUAAUUAAAUUUCACUUUUUUUUAGUUUUAAGACAUUAAAAAAAAGUAAAAUUCUAUUUUAUGUCUAAAAUGAGCAAAAUGCUAUGAUCACACCUUAAGAUUUUAGUAGAAUUUUUAAAAGUAAUAAAAAAUUAUUAUGAAAAGUUAUAAUGUAAAUAAAAAAAUUUAGUAACAUUUUACUAAAUUUGUUUUAAUUUUUUAAUUUUUAAUUUUUUUAAUACUUUUAAUUUUUAAAGUAUCAUAUUUCUUUUCCCUAUGUGAACCUGUUCCUAAUGAUAUCACUAGGAAUCGACCAUAAUCCACCGGCUUUACAGGGAAGAAGUCAGGACUCACUCGUUCAUCUCCUCCAUCACUUCCCCAAUUGCAAUUAAAGUCUGAAAAAAUAUUAAUAAUUAAGUCAAAAUUAAUUUGCAUAGAUGUAGAAGAAGAUUAGCAUAAACUACAAUUUUCAAUCAUUCGUGUUGAAUUCUCUCACUUUUCCUUCAAGGCUUUUUGUUUCAAAAAAAUGAGCCAGGAGGUACGUUGGUGCUGCCGAUGUCCAAUGCAUAUAUCGGAUAGCAAGGCAUCUAAGUUUGAUUUCCUCUUCAACUGAAACAUCAAAUUAAAUAAAUGCUAAAUAAUACUAAUCAAAUAUGCAUCUUCAUUUAGCCAGAAAAAAAGAAAGGUGUGAACAUGGUUGUGGGCUUUGCAGGGAAUAUUUUAGGACAUUCAUUAAGAUAGAAAUUCUUAGUAUCUUUGGCAGCAAACAUUGGACGACCAUUAUCAUUAAGUGUGGUUAGCAUGGUAGUGACAAGACCACCUGUGCUUGUACCGGCAAUCACAUCAAAAUAAUCUGCAAUUCUUGCAUCCUCCCCAUCCAGCUUUUGAACCAAGUUUAAAACGGCUUAAAGAUAAUAGUUUAAUUAUAAAAUAAAAUAAGAAGUAUUAGGGUUAAGGUUGUUAUGACCCUGCAUUUCUUGCAUGCGUUCCUUUUCGAUGAUGAGACUCACUUUUUAUUUAUAAAAUAUUUUUUUGAAAAUUGUUUUUGGAGUCACCACUAUUUUUGUUUUAUAUUUUUAAAGGAAAAACAAGUUUAUAAAAAACCAAGUAUAGGCCUAAGGGUCAGGUUACCAAUUGGGAAGGUACGGUGAAAGACCGUAGCACCCCUCUAAGCCCUAAAGUUAGGCCUCUAUUGACCAGUUAAGACAAGUGUGACAAUUGAUUGAUUAAUCAUAAAUACCAAAUAGUGAUCAAGGGUGUAAUGUCUUAGUAUAAAAUGAAAGGUAUGUAGGUAUCUAAGAUCAUCCAAGUAUGCUGAGAAAAUUGAACUCAGUGUGUCAAUAGCUUCAUAAUCCAUCGAAAGCAACAAUCAUAAACAGAAAGUCAAAUCUCAAUGUCAAAGAUCAACAAAGUGGCUAUGCCCCAAUAUAAAAUAAUGUCCUUUGAUAUGGCUAUGCCACAAUAAUGAGGACAACAUGAAAUAAUCGAAUGAUCUCCAUACUACUCGUCAGAUGCUUCAACUUAAAGAAUCAAUUUGAUCUCGCUCCAAAAGAUGGCUAUGCCCCAAUGUAAAGGAUCCAAUAGGGUGGCUAUACUCCAAUAUAAAAUACUCUUCAUCAUGACUAUGCCCUAGUACAAAAUUGUCUGAAGUGGCUAUAUUCCAAGAUAAAUCAAACUUCAUCGUCGAUGAGAAAGCUAUGCCUCAGCAUUCAUCAUCAGUUCAAGAUCAAUCUCAACUCCUGAUAUUGAAAAUGGGUAUAUCUCAAUGUAAUCUCAACAACUCUUAGCUCCAUCAUAAUGGAAUGAAAUGGUUAUGCCUACCAUGAAAAUCUAUGAAGCAAUUGUGUCUCAAAAUAAACAUCACCUCAAAAAUCAUCUAUCGAUGAGAGGAGUGUGUCCUAAUGUAGAAUAUCAAGGAGAGUGAUUGUAUCUUCAAUAAAAGUAUCUCUGAAAUGGUUAUGCAUUAAUGUAAGGUCAUCCCACAACUCCUAAUCCAUCAUAAUCCAAGUGAAGAAGCAAACUAGUUAUGCCCUACUAUAGGGCAUCAUCUCAAAAAAUUUCUCAUCAAUGAGCAUUGUAUGCCCCAGUGUAGAUCACAUCAUCUCAAAAAUCCAUAAUUGAUAAGAGGGUUAUGCCCCCCGAUGUAAAUCAUAUCAUAGUUCCUCAUCCAUCAUACUCUAAGCAAUAAUCUCCAACCAAUCCCAAAUAUCACCCAUGUGUGAGCUGUCAAACAUAAUGUGUAAAGUCAUGGCCUUAGGAUGGUCUUAAGACACGGGACGUAAUGUAAGCUAAGGUAAUAGGGUGAAAGAAACGAGAGGAAACUAGGCUCAAUAAUCCCCAUGAUAUAAUCCUCAUACCUCUCAUGUGUGUGAUGCAAUGCAUAGAAAACCUCAUAAGUCAUGGACUUAAGGGUUCCCACACGAAAAUGAUGAUAAAGGAAUGAGCAUAUCAAAUAAGCAAGAAUAACGUGUGGAUACUGAACCCAAAUCGAACAUCAAGCAAGAUAAGAAAAGAAAUAAAUGAAAUGAGGGAUAAUGAAAAUGAGUAAUGGAAUAGAGAUGAAAACAAAGAAAUAGAAAAGUGAGUGAUGAUCAACCUACAUCAAAGCAUGAAAAACAGUCACAUUAGAAAUAAUGGAAUGAUGGAUAGAGCAAGGAUCCAGAGACCCUAAGGAAAUGUCGUUUGUCUCUCUCACAAAAAUCGAAUAGGCGACUUAUACUCUCACCCAGAAAUAUAUAUCAAGAUAGAAUUGAGUAAAAUAAAAAUCUCUAAAAGCUCACAGCAUUUGUGAAGGAGAAUGAGUCCCCUAAGUAGAGAGAAUGGCCAUGUUCAAUCUUACUAAAUAUAGAUAAAAAAUAAAAAUAAAAAUAAAAAUAAAAAACCUGUAAGACUCAAUAUUAUGGAUAUAAUCAUAUAAAAGAAACUUGAGAGUUUGGUUGAUUGAGAAUUGCGUCCACGUUUCUUUGUUUUGACCAAAAUAGAACCUUUCCCCUCUGAGCACAAGUCAAUACAUGUGGACAGCUAAAGGCCAAAGCCAUGAGUUGAAGAUUGUCCAAGUGAAUGAUGUUAGCAGAGUUAAGACCCAGCUUGAAAUCAAACUACCGAACUCACCGCCUAAAUGUGGGUACCCACCCAUAACCUGCCACUGACCACACCAUUGUAAUCUUCCUCCAAAAUGAAAGGAAAAUUAUUAGAUACUCUCAGAAAAUAGCACUGGUUUGUGUUUGAAACAAACAAGCAUUUCACAUGCUUGUGAAUUGCAUCAUGUCUUUGAACUUUAGACCCAACUAACAACGCCUUCAACAUAUGCUCAAAUAUCUCAUAUCCCUCUGCAAGAGGGAUAUGCCCACAUCCAUAUUUACCUUCUAGCUUUAGUUUUCAAGCCACUGUCUUUCUUCUCAGCCAGGUUAACCAUGGAGGGGGACAAGAAAAGAAAAGCAUCAUCAGAAAAAUCAAAACACAAUUUACCUGAGGCUUAACAUUUCACUGCAGCAAACCUCCAUAUACAGAAGAAAAAAAUUAAUUAAAAUGAAAGAACGCUUGCUUCAAAGCUUUAUUUUUUUAUACUAAAUGUGCAGAAGAGGGCAUGUGAACACAGUCUAUACAAUCUAUACAAGAACUCAAUAAAAUGGGGUGAAGACAGAAAAACGAAUAAAACUCAAUAUGACAAAAAAUGAGAGUGUCGCGAGGCUUUUAAGAUGUAGUAGUCAUAGGCACAAACCAACUGCUUCCGAAAUCUUCUGAGGUCCAAUGUCACAGUUUGGUGAUCCAGAUAUACCCUCUUAGUGAAUUCCCAUCCCUUUUUGGCUAGACUGUCUGGGUCUCUCAGAACAGGAUCAUCUUUAGCAUACUCAUUGUACAAUGAGCUCUCUCUUGGAAGAAUCUUAUAGCCCAUGUAUUUUAAACCAAGCUUCUCUGCAGGUUCCCCAUAGUAAGUUUCUGCCGGCCAUUCUGUUCCCAGAGGAAUUACUUGGAUAAAUACAGAGCCAGGCUGCAGAAACAGAAUAUGGGUCAUAGCAGCACCAUGGACUCCAACCAUGGCAUCACUUGAAUUUAGCACCCUAUAGAUCUUGGCCAGUUCAGUGGCUCUAUUGGGCCUCAGAACUUUGACUUGAAACCCUAUUUCCUUAGCCAUUUGCACCAUCAAAUCCUCAUUAGUUAUGGCUCUGGCGCCAGUUCGGGACAGUACAACCAAUUUCGGUUUCUUCAACUGAUGUACUUGCUCUUCUUUCCCUGUUUCUAAUGGGGGCUUUAGUGAUGGUGGUAAAGAUGGAUCCUCUUUCAUUUUUGACUGCACUUUCUGUUCCUUGGCUUGAAUUAAACUUCUGAUUCUAGGCAAAUAAGCCUGGUCUAGAAGGUUACGGAAAUCUCUGAUGCUCUCAUUUCCCUCCACCAAUGAAGAAUCCACAGUGAGCUCAUCAUGGAUCCUCAAACCAACAAUCGCUUCUGGAAAACAAUGGGUUCUGUUAUCUCCACUAAAAUCAAUUGGUGGGUAAUCUGAUAACUGCGAAAUCACGUCUCCAUACUUAGUAAUCCACCAAUCAUGGUACUCAAGAAUAACAAACACAACCCUCUUGUUCAGAUGCUGGGAAGUUAUAUACAAAGGAAGAAUCCCAUCAUUGAAUUCAUGGUAUAUGUUACCUGUAUAGCCUCCGGUGGAGAAGAACACAGCUGGAACAUCAUGGUGGACAUCACAGUGAUGGUGAGUGCCGUAACCCUCUUUUUUCGAGAUAAGGUGUAAUUCAUCAAUGGUGUCCAUGACACUGGCUUCCCAUUUUCGGGUAUAAGGUUUGAUCUUUUCGUGUUGGAGUUGCUCUUCUUCAAACUCCUUGCCUUCUCCAGAUAUGCUUGAAACAUGAUCAGUAAAGGCGUUGGGGUUUCUUGAACCAUACAGGAAGAUUGAUGAUGAAGAAGAGUGCGUUCUUACAUCCCCUUUCAUGAAACAUGUAUCUGUACGAAAGGCGCUUCUAUCACAGCAAAUAGUUCCUGCAUUUACACAAAAAAAAAAACCCUUAAAAUCUACAAAAUUUCAAAAAUCAAAUGGAACCCCAUUUUCCAACUGCUUAUAUCAUCUAAUAAAAAAUUCAUUCCACGAAGAAUGCACUGUUUGGAUGCAGAGGAUACAGAGGAAUUUGAGCUGAUUAUUCAUCUUUGGCGAAAAAAUCAAUAUGAAGCAAAAAAAUAGAAAAUCUUCGUCUUUCCCCUCUUUUCAUGAACAAAACUGAGGGGAAAAGGCAAUCAACAGUCAAACGACAAUCUCUUUCCGUGGGUCCAGCUAUUACGUUGAAGGAAAAAAAAGUUCAAAUAAACCACCCAAGAAAGCAAAAUAAGAGACUAACCAUUUGCGAUUGAAGAACAAAGGGUUUUCGCAUCCAUUUCAGCAACAGGGCCAUCAUAUUCUCCAAAUGAAUCUGCAAAACCCAGAACAUAAACCUCGAGAUAAGACAAAAAAAGCAAACAAAAAACAGAGAAAACAGCGGAAACCCGUGAAAAAAAAAAAAAAAAAAGAAAGAAAGAAAGGCUCACAUAUGGGAAAGCUGAAAAGGCAAGGGGCCAGGACAAAGCAGCAAGAGAGCAGAGACAGAAAAAGUAAGGCAAGAAGCUUGGGCCUUGUUCUCUUGUAAUAACCAGCGCUUCCACACUCAUCAACAAGGCUCUGUGCCUCUUCAUCAUCUUCGCCUUUCCUCAACUGAUGAUACCGCUGAUGGUGCACCAUUUCUCCUGUUGAAACACAGAAAAAAGCAAAGCUUUUGUUGUGGGUUAUGGAGUCUGAACCCAACACAGACAAAGAAACAGAGAAAAAGAGAGAGAUUUAUAUACAGAAAGGGAGAGCUGGUGAUGGGUGGUUCUGGGUUCGUUCCUGUUGGUAUGAACUAUGAAGCAUAAACUUGAAAUGGGUGUACAGAGGGAGAGAGCUGGAAAGAGAAGGUGUCAACGAAAGAAGGCUGGUUCAGGGGAGGGGGCUUUCAAGGUGAUAUUCCUGAUUCCAGUCAAAUACGUGUGCUGGUGCCCAAGCCCAUCAAAAUACACUUGGCCGUUUUAGUGGUUUUCCUUAUUGGCUACGGACCCUUGUAUUUUCAUCUCACGCGCCCCAUUACUGCCUUAAAUCCCUUCUUGGAAAGUCUUCAUUAUUGGAUGUUUUUUCAAAUAAGACUUUAAUAUGAUAAAAUAAAAUGAGGCUAAAUAAUUUUUAUGAAGAUAAUUGUGAAAGGUCCGAUGCUUAUGAGUUGUCAUACUGGGGUAAUAAUAUUUUCAAAAAUUAGUUUUUUAAAAUGAUUUUUAAAACCGUUUCUUAAAUAUUUUAAAAUUUUUGAAAAUUUAAAUAUAGAAAAUAAUUUUAUAAACUUAUUCAAGAUGAUACUAUGCACAUGUAUGAUAUAAAUUUUUUCUAUUAGUAUAUAGAUUUUUAAUGAUAUACCUAACGCGCUAAGUAGUUGCAAUAAUUAUAUGUAAAAAUACGGGGCGUAUAAAGAGACCUCACGCUUCCUUGGGGCGCGUGGAGAUGAAUGACGGCGACUGUGCUUUGAAUGAGCCAAUCUUCCGCAGCAAACAUCCUCCAAACGCUGGUGGGUUUUAAUUUUAAUAUUCAUGGUGGGAAGCUACAAUCUCAAUGCCAUUAAAUAUUGAAAAAAAAAUCUAAAUUGGACCGCAAAAGCAGAAUUUAGUUAUCCUGUAAGCAACAUUAAGGCAUCUUUAUAAGUUGUACAAGCAUAAAAAAGUUUAUAUUUUUAAUAAAUGAUUUGAAAAUUCUUAAAUUUUUCGAUAAUUAUUUAAUUUUUUAAGGUAUUUUAUGUAUUGAAAAAUGUCCAAAGGUAUUUUUUUAUAUUUAAAAAUAUAUAUAAUUUGAAUAAUAGAUUCUAGACAAACUCUUAUAUUGCUGUUUUUUUAGAAAUAAUUUCAAAAUUUUAUUUUUUUUUCAAUGUCUCUUAUGGGUUGAAAAUUUCAUAAAAGGAAAAGGAAGUAAAAGACCUAUUGAUACAUUGGAAACAUAAAUUUCUUGGAGUAAAGCUUUUAAGUUUGAAAAUUUAUUAAAGGUGGUAAAUAAAUAUUGGUGGUUGGGUAAUAGGGAAGAGCCGAAGAGAGCAUCAAGAUUCAAAAAGCGCAAACAACUAACCGCUAAUUGAGGCAGAGGCAUUUAGGAAUCAAGUCUGCGUUGGCGGCAAAAAUGGAUACAAAGAUCAGGAUAUUUGCAUUUGUGCCCCUUACAUUUUGAUAGUUUUUCUGUUUGUUCCAUUUUAUUUUCAUAAUUUAUUCAAAGAAGAUGCCAUUUUACCUUCUUUUUUUUCUUUUAAUAUUUAAUAUUAUGAAAAACAGAAGAAUGUGGCCAUAUAAAAAACAAAAAGUUGUUCUUUUAACACAAACUUAAAUAUAAAAAAUAAUUUCAAAAUCCUCAACUUUUUUUUUUUUUUGGUAAUGAAUGGGAUGAUAUGGAAUUGUGGGGAAGAGGUGUGGGUUGAGUGAAAGCAAGGUGCAAUUAGUUGACAAUUGGACCGUUGGAUAAAGGGUCCUUAUUUUGGCUUGUCCAGUCCAGCUGACUUCUGCUGGACUACAGCAGGUCUGUCACGUGAGCGGUGAGCCGAAUAGGCUAAUACCAGUAUACAUCCUGGUAAAAAGAAUUUAUAUAUAUAUAUAUUUAUAAAUAAAAAACCUUGGUAUGGUAUUUUAUGAUAAUAAGUGAAUAAAACUCCUUUUCAUAAUUAAGUUUAAAUGGAAUUUUGUUCCCAAAGAUAACAUAGAACUAACCAUUAUCAAAUAAGUUUUAAUAUUUUCAUUGUUUAACCACUAAAGAUUUUUGGGAAGGUUUUUGACAAUUUUAAGGGUUACUUAUAAAAUUUUGACAAGAAAAAAAAACAAUUAAAACUUAUAAUAUAUUAUAGAUCCCAAAAUUUGUCCCAAUUUUUUUUGUUAUUUUAUUUAUUAUUUAUUUAUUUUUACUUUUGUUUAUUUUACUUAUUUUAGGACUUUUUGGUUAAUAUUUAUUAAGCCUUUUCAGUUUUAUUGGAGAAUUAAUCGUGGUCCUUCCUUUUUCCAUCAAUUCCCAAUCACCCAUUUCAAACAAAACCCUAAUCCUCUCUUUUCUCUCUCCAUCUCAACCAUAGCCCACUCACCCACGUUUUCCCCAAUCUUCUCUUCUUCCACUUUCUUUCUUUUUGUCCAUAUUUUCUUUUUCCUUUAUUUCCUUUUCUUUCUUCUUCAUCUCGUCACGUGGCCGUCUCUCACCAUCGAUGACGCUACUACCGGUGACCCACUGCCAGCAACCCAUUAUCAGCGACACCACUACCGACGACGCUACUAUCGGCCGACAGCCAUCUCCAACACCGAUAGUCCUCUCCAUCACAUCCUCUCUCUUCUUUCCUACCCAACAUCACUCACCAUCUCUGUCAUCCUAAACCUCCCAAUCAUUGCCCUAACAGUCAUGGUUGUGCUGCUCGGUCGCCUUAGAAAAUUAUACGACAACAACCUUCCCUACCCCACAUCUACACCAAAGUCAAGUUGAACCCUUCUCGGGUUUAUUCACCUUCUUCCCUACCCAACAUCACUCACCAUCUCUGUCAUCCUAAACCUCCCAAUUGUUGCCCUAACAGUCAUGGUUGUGCUGCUCGGUCGCCUUAGAAAAUUAUACGACAACAACCUUCCCCACCCCACAUCUGCACCAAAGUCAAGUUGAACCCUUCUCGGGUUUAUUCACCUUCUUCCCUACCCAACAUCAUUCACCAUCUCUGUCAUCCUAAACCUCCUAAUUGUUGCCCUAACAGUCAUGGUUGUGCUGCUCGGUCGCCUUAGAAAAUUAUACGACAACAACCUUCCCCACCCCGCAUCUACACCAAAGUCAAGUUGAACCCUUCUCGGGUUUAUUCACCUUCUUCCCUACCCAACAUCACUCACCAUCUCUGUCAUCCUAAACCUCCCAAUUGUUGCCCUAACAGUCAUGGUUGUGCUGCUCGGUCGCCUUAGAAAAUUAUACGACAACAACCUUCCCCACCCCCACAUCUACACCAAAGUCAAGUUGAACCAUUCUCGGGUUUAUUCACCUUCUUCCCUACCCAACAUCACUCACCAUCUCUGUCAUCCUAAACCUCCCCAAUCGUUGCCCUAACAGUCAUGGUUGUGCUGCUCAGUCGCCUUAGAAAAUUAUACGACAACAACCUUCCCGUUCCCACAUCUACACCAAAGUUAAGUUGAACCCUUCUCGGGUUGAUUCGCCUAGAAAUGUGAGUUUUCUCUUCAUUGAUUCGUACAGUAACGAUUUGGAUUUGGAUUUGGGUUAUUGGAUUUCCCAUAUGGCCUUUGAUUUAUUCAUUUAGACUUAUUUUGGGUUGAUUUCUAUUUUCUAUUUAUUGGUGUUGCGCCUUGGCUUGUUGGAUUGCUAUUUGGUUUGAGUUGGGUCAUUAUAUUAGUUGGAUUUGGGCUGGUAUAUUUAUUAAAUCUUGUAUUAGGUCUUUCUUUUUGUUGUUGCUGAGAACGGGAAAAGAGGUGUGGUGUUGAUUGGGAGGAGGAGGACGACUCUUGAGACUUUUUGUAAUCUUCUUUGCGUUUCCUAUGAUAUUUGUGAGAGGGUUGAGGGUUUUUUUUUUAUAGUAUUUUUUAGCUUCAUUUUGAAAGUUUUUGGAGGGUCAUUACUUUUAUUGGACUGCACUUUUAAGGUUACUCCUACGUCCUUGUCCUUCAAGUUUUAUUGUAUACAUUCAUUUCAUUUCAGUUUUCUUCUUAUGUACAUGUGAAUGUAUCAUUCGUGUUUAGAUUUUUUAUUGUAUAUGUAUAUUUAAUUUGUGAUUCAUGGAUUAAUUUUUGUUUCCAUUUAUUUGUUAUCCUUAUUUAAUAUGCUCUAUUAGCUUUUGUUUUGAGUUAUUUGUGUUUUAUUUUUCUGUUAAGGGAAUAAUCCAAUAAUGGGAUAAUGUUUUUGUUUGAAAAAUAUUUUUUUUUCUUCUUACCUUUAAUGAAUGAAAAUUCUUUUUAGAAUAAAUAUUUAGUCCUUUUUAAUAAACGUUUUAAAAGAUUUUUUUGUAUUAAUAAGUAUAAAAACCAUUUUCAGAAACCUUUUUUUUUAAAAAAAAAUAUAUUAAAUUAAAAUAAAACUCUGAAAAUUUUGAAAAACGGUUUUUCUUUUAUAUAUAUAUAUAAGAAAAAAAAGAAACAUUUUUUAGAAUAAAAUAAAAAGGAAAAGAAUAUAGAUUUUUAUUUAAUAAAAUUGAAUUUUCCUUUUAAAUAUAUUGAGAUUUAAAAAAAAUAUAUUUUUUAAAUAAAUCUUUUAUAUAUAUAUAUAUAUAUAUAUAUAUAUAUUAUUUUAAUAAAUUUGAACUUUUUUUUCUCUCUUUUUAUUUUUUUGUAUAAUUAAUUUAAAAUAAUUUUUUAGAAUAAAAUGCAGAUAACUUUUUUAAAAAAUAAAAAUAAAUAAAUUGUAAAGCUUUUCUAAAUAAAUUUGAGAGAUUUUUUAAUUAUUUUCUAAUUCAAGUAGAGAUUCGUUUUUGUCAAUAAUUUUUUUUUUUGUAAAUAUUUAAAAAAAACUAUUAAAAUUUGUUUUGAAUGGAAUUAUUUUGUAGAUAAAAUUGUGAAAAAGGUCUUUAUUUUGAAAUAAAAGAUAAAUUAGAUUUUAUUUUUAGAUAAACUUAUAAAAAUAUAUAUAUUUAUUUUUCUUUUCUUAAUAAAAGUUAAACAAAUUCCCUUAUCUAAACUAAAAUUUUGAAAAAUCAUAUCUUUUAAAUCAAAUUUGUAAAAGACUUUUAUUAUUAUUAUUACUAUUCAUAAAUAAAAUUGUAAAUGGAUUUUUUUUAAAUAAAAUUGAAUUAACAUUUUUUUUAUAGUAAAAAUCAAGUAAAAUUCUUUCCUUUCAAAUAAAACAGUGAAAAUGAAAAAUUAUUUUUUUAAACAAAAUAUAAAAUUUUAAAGUUCAUUUUUUUUUAAAUCAACAAUCAAAUUGUAUUAUUCCCAAUGUUUUCAAAACUGGACCGAUCAUUAAACCGAAAAAGUUACCGGUUCGCGGUUCAUUAGUUUGAUCAACAGUCAAACUGGUGACGUCAUAAAUAUAUAAAUUAUAAAUUAUUAAAAUUUAAAAUAAUUAUAAAAUAAAAUAAUAAUUUAUAUAUUAUUUAAAAAUUAAAAUUUUAUUUAAAAAAUCAUUAAAUUAUUCUCAUAAUAGUCAUGGUUCUUCUUUAAUCAUGGAAGAAAAACUCACAUGCCUAUUUAAAAAGAAAAAAAAAAUGGCAAAAACAUUGAAUGUGAGUUUUAAAAUUUUUAAUUAUUUAUUUGUUAAAAAAAAUAAUAUUUAGAAAUUCUUAAAUUUAUUAUAAUAAACUAUAAUUUUAUUUUUAUUUAAUUUUUAAUAAAUGCUCAUUGCCAAAUGGGUCAUAGGGUAAAAAAGGAAAGAGCAAAUCCUCUCCACUCUCCACUCUCCACUGCUCUCUUGUCUUCUUCGUCCUCCCUAUUUCUUCUUCCUUCUUUUUCCACGACUUCUCAUUUCUCUCCCAAACCCAGUUCUCUCUCAGUGCCACCACACUCCUAUUAUCUUCUCUUUCGGCGAUUCCAACUUUGACACUAGCGGACUCAUCGACGGGCUUGGCUUUCUAAUCAACUUCCCCAAUGGUCGUACCUUCUUUCGCAAAUCAACUGGUCGUCUCUCCGACGGACGCCUCAUCAUCAAUCUUCUUUGUAAGUUACCGCACCCAACCACUCCUCUGGAUUCUCAUUUCUUCUUCCAAUGCGGGGGGUGGGAGGGUGGCAUUCCAAGAAGGGUGGGGUCCUGCCGAUGGGAGACGAUGAGGAGGGGAGGGCUUUUCCAAUAGUAGGGGAUGGCAACAGUGGAAAAAAAAAAAGUUGAACCGGACGGUUGGGGGAAACCGUUUGGUUUAUCCGGCAUGCCGGUCGGACCACCGAUUUAACCGGUCUAAUUUCGGUCUGAACACUAUCCAGCCUAAAUGAUCGGAUCCGAUCCAGUCCAGUUUUUAAAACCAUAUUAUUCAUAUGAAUAAAACUUGAAAAAAAAUAUUUUUUAAAUAAAAUUAGAUAAAAUUUCUUUGUAGUUAUUUUUAUUUUUAUUUAUUUAUUUACUUUUAGUCUUAAUAAAAUUGAAUAAACCCUUUUUUCAAUAAUUUCAUUUUUAUUAAUAAAAUCAAACAAUAAAUAAUUUAUGGUAGAUAAAAAAAAAAGAUUGAAACAUUUUUGUAAUUGAUUUUGGAAAAAUUUGUGUUUCUAUUCAUUUUUUUUCUUUUUAUAUAUAUUAUUUUUAAUAAAUUCUUUUGAUACAAUAAGUGUAAAUAUAUAUUUUUUAAAUUUUGAAUUAAAUCACUUAAAUAAAAUAUUUUGUAAAUAAAUAAAUUGAAAUCACUCAUUCAAAAUCAUUUUUAAUAAAAUCAUUUGAAAUUUCUUGAAAACUAUUUUUUUUUUCAAUAAGUCAUUUUGCAUAAUUCUCUUAUUAUUUAUUUUGUGUAUUAUUGUAAUUAGAUUUUAUCAUUAUUUUUAUGUAUAUUAUUUUUUUUUUGUAUCCAUAAUUAAUUAAUUAAUUAAUUGUCACAAUUCCUUUAAUUCAUUUAAUAGAGGCCGUGCAUAUAUGGGUUUAGAGAGGUGCUCAACUCACCACCAUAUUUUCCCAAUAAGUAACUUGACCCCUGAAUCAGACUUGAUUUUUUCACAGACCCCUUUUUCAUUCAGGAGUCACACUUAGAAUUUUUAUUUCUUAUUUUGUUUUUCCCUUUAAAAAUAAAACAAAAAAUAAGUGUCAACUACAAGUAUUUUUAUAAAAAUCAAAAUUUUACCAAAUAAAUGAAAAGCGAAUCACUCUAUCGAGUGGAAAUGCAUCAAGCGAAACGCGAGGUCCAUAUAUAUGUUCUAAAAAUAAUUUAUUUUUAUAACAAAUUCUCAAAAAAUUAUUUUUUGUUAAAAUUUUAUCAAGUUAUUUUUAUUAUAAAAAAACUAUUUGUCAAACUAUUGUUUGUUAUAAAAAAUAAAAAACCAUUUUCAUUAACAUGAUUAAAAUUUGUUAUGAUGAGCUACAAUGAGAAAUAGCCGGAAAGAUUUGAGUUUCCAAUAAAAAUAAUUUAUUUGAAAAAAAAAAUUAGCGAUAAAUAUUCUUCCAAAAUCAUUUUUAAAUUAGCACUUUUGUACACAUCAUAAAAUUUAAGAAUAUGAUCAACGAUUAUUACAAUAUCGGGUAACCCCGUCAUAUAUUUAAUCCCACCCAAAUAUGUUUGCAAGUGAGAUAAUUGUCUCUUUAACAUAGCUGCAUCUCUUUUCGGAAGACGAUUGAGUCUCCCCGUCUUUUGUUCCAUUCUCAAGUCCCUGAAUUUAUGAAGUCUCGUUUCUGUAGUGGACCAAUUCGUUGACAUACCACCGAGCCAUUUUUUAUUAACAUAAUGACACCGAGCCUUUAUUGCAGCCCAUGCUACUGAAUCCGCUGCUUUAUUUUUGGUACCAACAAUUAAGAAUUGUUUUCCCCUACUUGCUGCAUCAAAAACUAAAUCACAAGCUUCUGAUAAAAAGCGAGCAGUUCUAGUAAGAUUUGUAAUAUG